Molecule: long non-coding RNA, 74550 nt
Filed under: Zea mays
Lineage: Eukaryota; Viridiplantae; Streptophyta; Magnoliopsida; Poales; Poaceae
Description: long non-coding RNA (ZMAY_LNC001712)
Source: RNAcentral
AAGUGCAAAACUUUUGCGUUGGCAUGCUGACGAACGUAAGAAGGAUGGAAAGUUGAGGCACCCUGCAGAUGCUUCACAAUGGAGAGAAAUUGAUAGUAAGUAUGAAAUAUUUGCAAAAGAAUCACGGAAUAUCCGAUUCGCUCUCAGCACCGAUGGUAUGAAUCCAUUUGGCAAUAUGGCCACUACCCAUAGCACAUGGCCAGUAUUAUUAAGCAUAUAUAACCUGCCACCUUGGUUAUGUAUUAAACGGAAGUACAUCAUGUUGUCAGUAUUGAUCCCUGGACCAAAACAGCCGGGCAAUGAUAUUGAUGUGUAUCUUGAGCCGUUGGUACAAGACCUGUUGAAGCUAUGGGAAACUAGUGUUGAAGUUCGGGAUGCUUGUAAGAAAGAAUAUUUUAACUUGAGGGCCUUGCUUUUUUGUACCAUCCAUGACUAUAAAGGCCUUGGAAACAUUGCAGGAUUAUCCACUCAGGGAUACAAAGCGUGCUAUAUUUGUCAAGAGAAUACAAAUAGUCGUUAUCUAAAAAACAGUAGAAAAAUGGUAUACCUGGUACAUCGUAGGUGGACACGCAGAAAUCAUCCAUACCGAAAGAAUGUUGAUGCAUUUGAUGGGAGUAUUGAAAAUGAAAAGGCUCCAUCACGCAGUUCUGGACAUGUGGUUUAUGAGAGUGUGAAGGACAUUGAAAAUAAGUUCGGGAAACACAAUUUAGCAUUGUCUAGAAAUUGGAAGAAAAAAUCCAUAUUUUGGAGGUUACCUUAUUGGCGCGAUCUAAGUGUGCGUCAUUGUCUUGAUCUUAUGCAUAUUGAGAAGAAUGUGUGUGAAGCUUUGAUUGGUACAAUUUUUAACAUAAAAGGGAAAACUAAGGACAACACCAACGGCCAGUGUGACCUUGAUGAGCUGAACAUUGAAAAACCCCAGGAAUGGUAUACUCUGACCAAGGAGGAAAAAUUUAAAGUUUUUAAUCUGUUACAUGAUGUCAAAGUUCCAUCUGCUUAUUCAGCAAAUAUUAGAAGGCUCGUGUCAAAGAAAGACCUAAAACUGUCAGGUAUGAAAACUCAUGACUGCCAUGUUUUAAUGACACAGAUCCUCCCCGUGCUCCUCCGUGGGUCUUUCAAGAAUAUCAAAAUACGAGAUACUGUCAUUAGAUUAUGCUAUUUCUUUAAUGAAAUAAAUUCAAAGUUGCUAGAUAUUGAAGCCCUUGACAACUUACAAAGGGAAUUGGUUCAAACUUUAUGCCAACUUGAGAUGUACUUCCCACCUUCAUUCUUCGACAUCAUGGUACAUUUGACCGUGCAUCUAGUUGAAGAGGCUAAGAUUUGUGGGCCGCAUUUCUUAAAUUACAUGUAUCCGAUCGAAAGGUUCAUGGGAAUCUUGAAACGCUUUGUUCGGAAUAAGGCACGCCCGGAGGGUUCUAUUGCAGAAAGUUAUGUAAUUGAGAGUGUCAUCGAUUUCUGUGUGGACUACAUGGAUGAGGUGGCACCGAUUGGCCUUCCACUGUCACGCCAUGAGAGAAGACUUAAAGGGCAAGGGGGACUUGGAUUGAGCACAGAGAUACCAGAUCAAGAAUUGCUCCAUAAAGCUCAUUUCUUGAUCCUUCAAUCUGCUGAAGAUGUUUCAAAGUACAUUGACAAACACAAGAAACGGUUGAGAAAGAAAACCCAGAAAUGGUGGACGAAGACAUUGUGAGGCUCCAUAACAAAGAGUUUUGUGAUUGGUUUCAAAAGCGGUGUGAAAACAAGGUACCAAAGAAUGACACUGUGAGACGGUUGGCACAGGGACCCUCGUCCAGCGUAGCGACAUGGCAGAGUUACGACAUUAAUGGAUACACUUUCUACACAGAGAUGGUAAAAGCACCCGACAAAAUAGUGGAGUUUGCAACGACGCGAUAACUGAGGUGUUUGAUCGCAAUAAAAAAUCGUCAUAUCUAAGGAAGGACACAUAUUAUGGACAAUUAGAACACAUAUGGGAGUUGAACUACACACUUUUCAAGCAAGUUGUUUUUCUUUGUAAGUGGUUCAACCCUAAAGGUGUUGUCGUUGACCCAAAAUAUGGGGUUACCACUAUAGAUUUUAGACGAGAAGCUUACAAGGAUGAUCCAUUUAUUCUUGCAAAGCAUGCAAAUCAAGUUUUCUAUAUCGAUGAUCUUGCAAACAGGCAUCAUCGAGUGGUGCUCAGGGGGAAAAGAAGAAUUGUUGGUGUUGAAAAUGUAAAUGACGAAGAAGAUUAUGACCUCUUUAGUAAUAUGAGUAGUUUAGAUAAUAUGGUCAUAGAUAUGGAAUGAGUUUGGACUUAAUGUAAAUUAUUAUUGUUCUAAUUUCUAUAUAUACGGCUGCUUAAUAUUCUGCAUCGCUGCUUAUUAUAAUUUCUAUCUAUAUACAUAUAUUCUAAUAAACAGAAAAAUGUGACUCCACCUAUCCACAAUUUCCAAUUCCACAUUGCAUUAGGGUUCCAGCUCGUAUUAGGCUCCCCUCGUCCCUCCCCGCGUUCCUCCCCUCGUCCCGCGUUCGGCAAUCCUCGUCCAGCUCAAGGAUCCCGCGUCCUCCCCUCGUCGUCCCGCGCCGUCGUCCUGCGCCGGCGUCCACCCCUCAUCCCGCGUCAGCGUCCUCCCCUCAUCUCGCGCCGGCGUACCGCCGCUGCGUCCCUCCCAUCGUCCCGCGCCCCGGGCGUCCCUCCCCUCGUCCCGCGCCCGCGCGAGUACCGCCGAUGCGAGCUCCAGGCAGCCCGCUGUCGGUGUUUUGGGUCUGACCGCACACCCGGGGUUGCCCCUCAAGGUGUUUUUAGGAGUAGGACGGUGUCAACGACUGUAGCAAAAUGGUUCGUGCUGAUUGCACGAGGGACAGUGAACAAGGUUUACAGGUUCAGGCCGCUUAGAUAUGCGUAACACCCUACGUCCUGGUGAGUAUGCUUGGUGGACAAGGUUACAAGAGAGUUCUCUAGAUUGAGAAUACAGAGAGUUGGUGUGGGUGGCUAAGUAACAGGGUCGAUCGUUCUGAAGGGGUGCCCCCUAGGCCUUAUAUACUAGACCGUGGGGCAGUACAUGUGGAUAUGAUAACAACGAGUAGCUAAAAGAUAGUGAACUGCUUGAGUUUAUCUCCAUGUAAUUCUGCCGACUUAUCCUCGCAUGGCUCCGUUGCAUGGGGGCUCCAGCGCGGGAAAGUCGGAUCUCUGUUGCGAUCACUCGCUCGACGUUGUGGACCGUCCGGGCUUGCACCAAUCCGGCCUCAUGUCGUUCUGCUUUGCUGGUUGUCUCUCCCCAGGCCCACGAAAGAAUGACCUUACGAUUUAUUGGGCCCUUGGGCCUUUCGUGAGGUCUUUUACUCUUUUAGUGGACCCGGGGGAUAUCUAUCCCCCACAAGCCCCCGAUCUUUGGGUUAAUUUAGAGGUAAUCAGCCCAAAGAUCCCAGAUCCAGCUUGCAGGUGAUUUGAAGAAAAUGACUUCCUGUUGUCUUCUCCUGCUUUGAUCACUCGUAGACCGAAGCUUAGUUUCGUGCUUGUGCCUUAGAGGUCGGCAUUUCAAUUUGUAGGAUUUUGAACUACAUUGGGUGCACCGGAGGUGCACCCAAUGGGUGUAGCCCCCGAGCUUCGAGUAGAUUUUUAGAAAAUAAUCUGCUCGAAGGUCUUCUCCAAAAAUUAUUUCCAUUAGUGCUCCUGCGUUUUGGUUGAAGGUUGGCCUUUUAAUCUUGUCCCACGCCUUAGAAGUCGGCACUAUCCUGGCUUGGAAUGAUAAUCCAUGGGGUGCACCGGAGGUGCACCCAAUGGGUGUAGCCCCCGACCUUCAAAUGGAUUUUUGAGGAUAAUCCAUUCGAAGGUCUUCCUUUCGUGUCUCUUUGCUGAAAAUUAUCCUUUCUGCUUUGGAGGUCAGCAUUAUGUCAUCAAUAUUUUGCUUCAGAGGUCAGCAUAUGUUUUGUCUUUAGCAGCCGAGUUCGCAAUCCAUCCAUAUCUUGCUAGGUAGUGCAAUUUAUUUGCUCUGCGACUGAUUGGACGUUUGAUGGACGUUCUCUGUCUAGUCUUCACGUCGCUUCUGUCGGCCAUAUUUUGUACUUUACUGGCUAUAUUUGGCUUUCCUCUGAUCCUUACCGAUAUCUCAUUUUUGUCUUGAGGUAUUCACUGCGUGCCCUGCACAGAUGUGACCGUUUUGAAAAAUAUACUGAUAAUUCCUAGGCGUCCCCCCCCAAUGGGUGUGGGCAAGGGACGGCUUGGUACGCUGAGUGUUUUAGCCGGCUGCUUCUGAGUAGUAAUGUGAUGUGACGGCGAGUGUAAUCAUAUCCUCCGCGCUGUUGACUGGAGUCCCAAUGGGUGUUGUGUUGCGUGAAACGGCGUCAGCCGCCUGACGUGUCUUCAGACGGGUUGAAGUGCUUAUUGAAUGCUUUGCGACUGUUCAGUGACCGCGGUUGGAGGCGAGCGGUUGCCUUCUCCUUCUAUAAAUAACGUCGUUGUAUCUCUGGCCUUUUCACAUCUCUCGCUGUUCUCUGUUGCUUCCCUUUCUUCUCUCCCUUGUGCUUCCACCAUGGGCAAGAACAACAAGCGCAAGUGUGAGCCAACUCCUCCAUCGGAGGAGUUUGGUGACUCGGAGUACUUAGAGGAGGAGUUCUCCUCUGAGUCCGAGGGGUCUCCGGCUCCCAUCCCCCUGCGUGAGUCGUCUGACGACUCAGACGACUCCCAGGGGCUCGCGGCGGAGGUCUGGACAUACAUCCGGGCCGUCGAGCGUUCCGGGCUCGAGGGCUCGGAUGAGUCGGAGUACUCCUCGGAUGAGGAGGACUCGGACGGCGGCGGCGGGGACGAGGACGACGACGACGAUGACGACGACAACGGUGGCGACGGUGACGGUGACGGCAGCGGCAGGGGCGGCGGCGGCGGCAGCAAGGACGGUGACGGCGGCGGCAGCAGGGGCAGCAACCGGGGCGGCAGCACCAGGGGUGGCAGCGGCGGUGGCAGCAACAGGGCCAGUGGCUAGAUGCCACUGGUCUUUUAGAUAUUAGUAUAGUAUAGUUAGAAUAAUGUAGUAGUAAUGUAGAGUAGUAUAGCGUAGUGUAGUAGUAGUAGCAGUAAUGUAAUGUAGUAGUAGUAGGGAAGUAUCAACUCGUAAAGAGUUGAUUUGUAAGUAUGUUAUCUUCCCUUCUAAUGAAAGAAUGAUGUUGGCUUCUCCUUUAUGACUUGUCUUGCUCGUUUGUGAAGCUGAUUCCUUUGAGACAGUAAAUGAAUAACUCGGGCAUCGAACUGAUGCUUUUAGGAAUAGCCGCCGAGUAACUUUGUAGAUGGUGUCGGCGUUUUUAGAGUAACUGCUGAGCGAUUGAACACAAUAUCAGAGUUUUAGAGAUAACUGCCGAGCGACUGAAUACAAUAUCAGCUUUUUAGAGGCAACGCCGAGUGACUGGAGGGUGACGUCGGCGUUUUAGAGGCAACGCCGAGCAACUGAACACUAAAUCGGCGUUUUGGAGGCAGCGCCGAGUGAUUGAAUACGAUAUCAGCGUUUUAGAGGUAACGCCGAGUGAUUGGAGGGCGACGUCGGCAUUUUAGAGGUAAUGCCGAGCGACUGGACACGAAAUCGGCGUUUUGGAGGCAACGCCGAGCGACGUCGGCAUUUUAGAGGUAAUGCCGGACGACUGAACACGAAAUCGGCGUUUUGGAGGCAAUGCCGAGUGACUGGAGGGCGACGUCGGCAUUUUAGAGGUAAUGCCGAGCGACUGAACACGAAAUCGGCGUUUUGGAGGCAACGCCGAGUGAUAGCAGGCCGCGCGAGCCACUUUGAGGAUGAUGGCCGAGUGAUGAGGUGGCGCACCGGUGUUCUGGAGAUAACUGCCGGGUGACUACGUGGCACGCUGGGGUUUUGGAAAUAACCGCCGGGUGAUGACUGGGCACUUUUUGAAACGGUAUCUGGCUCGAGAAUAUCCCAUAAGUGCUGCGCUUUUAGCCGCCUUUGCUUUCCGUGCCCUAGUUCUUGCUUUCUCGCUUCCGAAUCCUCUCUGCCAUCCGCUUCCCACUCUGCUCGCUGGUAGAAUCAAGAUGGCACCCAAGAGGAAAACCUCGAGCUCGUCUGCUGUGGUGAUUCCUCCAAUCGACCCCAAAAGCCAGUUGCCUUUCGCAGGUAACCACAUGUCCGUCAUUUCUGAAACUGAACUUCUCCACCUUGUAUCCAUCGGGGUUCUUCCUCCGCGGGAACUAUGUUCUUGGCGGAUCUGCCAUGGGUUUACUGUUCCGACUGAGGAUACCCAUGAGUCCGUUGUUUACGCCCCUUUCCUUCUCCGCGGCCUUGGCCUUCCCAUUUCUCCCUUUUUCCGCGGCCUUCUUGAUUUCUACCAUAUUAACUUGACCCAUUUGAACCCCAAUUCAAUUCUGCAAAUCUCCAUUUUCGUUCAUUUAUGCGAGGCCUUUCUUGGCGUGCUGCCGCAUUUCGGUCUGUGGAAAUACUUGUAUCAUUGUCGCCCUGGGAUGGCCGGGGGACAACAUCAGUUGGUUGGGGGUGCCAGCUUGGAGAUGCGCCGCGGGAGGAAGACUGAAUAUCUCGAGAUCCCUCUCAAGGACAGUAUCAAGGGAUGGCGCUUGGAGUGGUUUAUAGUUGAAAAUUAUGGGAAUUCUCUCCCCUCCAGGUCGGGAAGACAGCCGGACGUUCGCACCCCAAGCUGGACCGAGUCUCCCACAGAUCAGGAGGUAGCUGAGGCAGGUGUGUUGCUAGCUGAAGUUGGACUGCUGAAAGAGAGGGGUCUGACUGCUGAAGCCGUGGUUACUGAUUUUGUUUUCAAGAAUAUUCAGCCAUUGAAAGACAGGGCCUACCCAGCUUAUCUGUAUCGAGGGCUAGCCGACUCAACUCGGGUUACUAACAGAAGAAUUCCCUCUGCAGACUUGGUGAGCCGACUAGAGAUGAUCCUUAGGGGCAAAGUGUCAAAUGUUGGUGCUCCAGUGGCAUACUCGGCCUGGAACCUGACUCCUCCCAAAGCCUUCACCCUUUUUGUGUCAAAUCCACCUAUUACUGAUGGCAGUUUGGGCCUUAGAGUGCGACCCUCCGCUGAAGAAGUUAGUGCUUUGGUUGCCUCGCUUGGGGAGAUUCCUGAUGACGAACGACAGGUCCAUUUUGAGGUGCCCCUGAACCCUAGUGAUGCAGAGAUAAGCGCUAUGCUUGAUUUGCUAGCUGAGGAUUCUUCCGACGCUGCUCCUGCUGGGGCGUUGGUAGUGGCACCCCUCCCAGAGGCUGAUACGACUUUGGAUGCUCAGAAGCCCGUCAGUACUCGCCUGAGGCGUCCUUGCCGAGCCAAUCAGCCUGAUCCUUCUGCUGAUGAGCAGAAGAAGAAAAGAAGAUGCCUCCGGCGAGUAUCCAGCUUGGAUCAGGACGCUGGUACCUCAGUUCCUGCUACUGAAGAAGUGCCUGCGACUGGAUUAGCUGAUGCUGACCCCAAUGGGUGUACCCAAUCCAAUGCUGAUCCCAAUGUGGGUGCUCCAUCUGUUGCUGAUCCCAAUGGGGGUGCUGCUUGUGUUGCCAAUGUAGAUGACGAGGAGGAAGAAAAUGAGAUUCCUUUGACUCGGAAAAACAGUCGGCAGUUCAUCGCCAGCGGUGAAAGUAGUGGAGUUCCCUCUCCUGCUUUGUCUGCCCUUAUUGGUCUGCAAGAACUGUCCCUAGCCAACUUUGAUCAAAUCUCGAGGAUAUGGUCCCAGAGGACUUGUUAUCGGAGCCAGUGGAUGAUGAUGCAAUGGAGGCUUGCGCUGAUGUGCCUGAUGCUGGGUUGAGGUCAUCCUGUGCCUCGUCGACCUUAGAGCGCGAUCUCGAGGGUCGGGAGACUGACUUGGAUCGUCCUGGUCCUAUGGAAGUAGCUGAGGGCCCGUCAACCUUAGAGAUGGUUACUGAAGAGAACUUGGACCUCAAGAAUGGUGCUGACACAUGCCCAGCCCCCGAGGAUGUCGCCGGGGAUGACUUGGCUCGGGUGAAGAGUGUAAGCCACUGCCCAGCCCCCGAGGGUGCUGUCGGGGAUGAUCCGGCUCAAGUGGGUAGUGCAAACUAUGACCCAGCCCCUGAGGGUGCCCGAGCAGGGUCUCCCUCCUGUACUUCCAUGGACGUUCAUGCGGGAUCUCCUCCACACUCUGGCUGUAUGGUGGUAGCCCAAACCUUGGACUAGGGAGUCGCUUUAGAGGGCAGCGUCCUCGCUGAUCGAGUGUUUGGCUCUGUUGAAGGCACCAAGCUGAUUACUACUGGUUCGUUGCAAGCUGCUUCGGGUGGUGGCCUUACGCCUGAUUAUCAACUGAUCUCUCCUGAUUUGGGGAUCCCUUCGUUCUUUUCCAACCUCCAGGUACUGUGAUGUAUUUUAGCUUGAUUUUCACAUUGUAUGAACUGCUGUCAUUACACUCAUCUGUUUUCCUCAUCAGGCUUUGGUGGAUGGGAUGGCCAGCCAGCUGAGGCUACAGGGUGCUUCCGUCCCAGAAGUAGCUUCGUCUCUUGCAUGUUGGAAUCCAGUGUCACUUCAACAUCGCGUCUCUGAAUUGGAGGCAACCAACGCUGGUUAGUGCCUUUUUGCUUCUCUUUGCCUUCACUGUGGACUGCUUUACCUUCUGACCCCGUUUUGUUUGAUUAUCUCUUGCUAGGAAUGACUCGACAGAUUUCAACUCUUGAGGAAAAACAUUCCCGAGAUCAGGCUGAAUUGGUCCAGCGGUGUGCUGACUUCGAGGAGAAGUACUCUCAGAGCCAAACUGAACUGGGUCAAGUCUCUGCUGCCUUGGAUGACGCCAAUGCACUGAGUUCUUCUCUUCAUGCUCAGCUCGAUUCUGAAAAGGUAAUUUACAAAACUGUGCUUUGACUUGUUGUGUUCCUAUUACUUGCUUGGUUUUUGAAGGAGUUGAUUUUUGCUCGCAGGAAGAAAAGCGUAUCCUCGCUGCUUCUCGCGACAGUCUUGACAGAUUGUAUCGCGAUUCUAGCAACUCGCUGACCAUCUUGGAGAGGAGUCACCGCUUUACAAUGGAGGAAUUGGACAAUCAACGCUGUAAGCUGCAGGAAUCCGCGGACGAAGUGACCCGCCUCAAGCAGUUGAUAUCAGCAAAGGAUGCUACCAUCAAAGAACUCCGAGCUUCCAAGAAAUCCAUUGUCCAGGAGUUAGAAACUGCUCAACUGGUAGCUAAGGUUGUCGAAGAGACUUCUGUUACUCUCAGAGCCCAGCGCGACAGAGCCAUGGACAAGGCUAUUCGGGCGGGACGAAUCUUGAUGAGGAGACCCGGCGUGGCUGUUCCUGAAGACAUAAGGGCUGACGUGAAUGCUGCCCCUGAUUCCUCGAGUCGCCCUUCUUCGUCGGUCGCUCCUGAGAAAGAUAUUGCGAAAUAGAGAAACAUUUUGCGUGCUUUGAGCGCGCGGUUAGCAUGAUCAAAUAUUUGUUAGAGGACAUCAGUUCAGCAUUCGAAUGAUAUAAUUACUCUCUUAUUGUUUCAGAAUUCAUCAGUUCGCAAAUUUGCAGUAGUGAGAUGACGUGCGAUAAUUAUGAAAUUUGUUUGCGGGAUAUAGAAGUCAUCCUUGUAUGAGUAAUCAUAAUUACGUCUGAUCGCCUUAAGUCGCUGCUGACUUAAGUCGAUUGUUUUUGUUAAUAGGGCAUAGUGGUCACCCUGGACUGCAUAGACAUGAGCAUGCUGCACCGGCUUAAGUCGCCACUGACUUUAGCCGAUUGCUCCAUUAGUAGGGCGUAGUGGUCACCCCGAGUUAAGUAAGCGUGAGCAUGUUGCACCGCCUUAAGUCGUUGCCGACUUAAGUCGAUUGCUCCGUUAGUAGGGCAUAGUGGUCACCCCGAGUUAAGUAAGCGUGAGCAUGUUGCACCGCCUUAAGUCGUUGCCGACUUAAGUCGAUUGCUCCGUUAGUAGGGCAUAGUGGUCACCCCGAGUUAAGUAAGCGUGAGCAUGUUGCACCGCCUUAAGUCGUUGCCGACUUAAGUCGAUUGCUCUGUUAGUAGGGCAUAGUGGUCACCCCGAGUUAAGUAAGCGUGAGCAUGUUGCACCGCCUUAAGUCGUUGCCGACUUAAGUCGAUUGCUCCGUUAGUAGGGCAUAGUGGUCACCCCGAGUUAAGUAAGCGUGAGCAUGUUGCACCGCCUUAAGUCGUUGCCGACUUAAGUCGAUUGCUCCGUUAGUAGGGCAUAGUGGUCACCCCGAGUUAAGUAAGCGUGAGCAUGUUGCACCGCCUUAAGUCGUUGCCGACUUAAGUCGAUUGCUCCGUUAGUAGGGCAUAGUGGUCACCCCGAGUUAAGUAAGCGUGAGCAUGUUGCACCGCCUUAAGUCGUUGCCGACUUAAGUCGAUUGCUCCGUUAGUAGGGCAUAGUGGUCACCCCGAGUUAAGUAAGCGUGAGCAUGUUGCACCGCCUUAAGUCGUUGCCGACUUAAGUCGAUUGCUCCGUUAGUAGGGCAUAGUGGUCACCCCGAGUUAAGUAAGAAUGCAAGUCAAUCGUAAACAAUCUGAGUAUCUUUGAAACCUCUUUUUUAUUGAUGACAUAUUCCCACUUUACAUAGUACAUCGUCGUCUCGGCAGUUUUUGAAAUACAACUAGGGAUAAAAUUUUCUGAGGUGUUCUAUGUUCCAGGAGUUCCCGACUUCUGUGCCAUCCAUCUGAGUGAGACGAUACGAUCCGGGCCGAGUGACUUCCGCUACCAUGAAGGGUCCUUCCCAUAAGGGCGAUAACUUGUGUCGUCCCUCCCCCGUUAGAAUUCGGCGGAGGACGAGAUCUCCUACUGAGAAGGAUCGUUGUCGCACAGCCUUGUCGUGAUAGCGCCUUAGAGUCUGCUGGUACCGUGCUGAUUGGAUUACCGCAUUUAGCCGUUCUUCUUCAAGUACAUCAAUGUCCUCCAGCCUUGUGGCCUCAGCUUCUGCUAUGUUUUCGAAGAUCAACCUUGGCGCCCCAAACUUGAGAUCGGCAGGUAGCACUGCCUCCGACCCAUAGACCAUGAAGAAAGGAGUGUUUCCAUGCAGGGCUCGGCUAGGUUGGGUUCUUAGGCUCCAAACGACAUAAGGCAAUUCCCUUAUCCACUUUCCUGCAAAUUUUUCAUUCUUAUCGAAGACCUUUUUCCUGAGUGCCUCCAGUGUCAUCCCGUUGGCUCGCUCAACCUGCCCGUUGGCCCUUGGAUGUGCUACAUAUGCAUACUUGAUCUGAAUGCUCUUUUGCUCGCAGAAGUCGAAGAACUCUAAACUUGUGAAGUUGGAUCCUAAGUCAGUUAUGAUGUUGUUUGGUAUCCCGAAUCUGAAUAUUAUGUCUUGUAUGAAUUCCACGGCCUUAGCAGAGGUUAAAUAAGCAAUGGGCUUGAAUUCUAUCCAUUUAGUGAAUUUGUCGAUUGCUACCAAUACAUGAGUGUAUCCCCCUUGAGCUUUCUUGAAAGGUCCAAUCAUAUCCAGUCCCCAGCAUGCGAAAGGCCAAGUUACUGGUAUGGUCUGCAGUUGCUGUGCUGGCAGAUGUUGUUGCUUUGACAAGUAUUGGCAAGCUUCGCACCUCUGAACUAACUCGGCUGCAUCAUUCUUUGUUGUUGGCCAAUAGAAUCCUGACCUGAAGACCUUCCCGACUAGUGUUCUGGAGGCUGCAUGUAUUCCACAUUGCCCAGCAUGGACCUCCUCCAGAAGUUGCUUCCCAGUGGACGGGAGAAUGCACUUCAUGAGGACGCCUGAUGCACCCCUUCUGUACAAUGUCUCCCCAAUGAGUGUAUAGUGAGCCGACUGUCUGGCAAUGCGCUCUGCCGAGUUCUUGUCGUCUGGUUCUUCUUCAUUCUUUAUAUACUUAAUGAUCGGCCUUCUCCAGUCAUCAGAGUCUGACUCGGGUUGAUCUAUAAUGUUGCACUCUUCUGUUUGAUCCAUUGAGAUACUCGGCUGUAGUAUUUCUUGCACAAAGACUCCGGGUGGGACCUGAGUUCGACUGGAUCCUAACUUGGAUAGUACAUCGGCUGCUGUGUUCCGAUCUCUUUCUACAUGAUGAAAUUACAGACCCUCAAAUUUAUCUUCCAGCUUUCGGAUGACAACGCAGUAUUUCCCAUUGAAUCGCUUGAACAAUCCCACUCCUUGUUUAUCUAGCUGAUGACCACCAGAGAGUCUCCGUAUACCAUCAAUCUCUUGACGCCCAAUGAGAUGGUGAUGUUCAAUCCAUGGAUCAGAGCUUCAUACUCGGCUGCAUUGUUGGAGGCUGGAAAUAGCAGCUGGAGGGCAUAUUUGAGGUGCUCGCCUCCAGGUGCGGUGAAGAGAAUUCCUGCUCCUGCUCCCUGCAACUUCAGCGAGCCAUCAAAAUACAUUCGCCACACUUCUGCAGUCUCUGGGUUAUCUGGUACUUGCUGUUCAGUUCACUCUGAUACGAAAUCAACCAGUGCUUGAGUUUUGAUGGCAGUACGAGGUUGGAAUUCGAUGUCAUGAGACCCCAGCUCACAAGCCCACUUCGCUAUUCGGCCAAUGGCUUCCUUGUUGUGAAGAAUAUCCUCUAUCGGAAAACCAGUGACUACUAUGACUUUGUGGUCAUCAAAGUAGUGACGUAGCUUGCGGGCAGUUAGAAGUACUACAUAUAAUAGCUUCUAAACUUGAGGAUACUUUUUCUUUGAGGGGCCCAGAACUUCACUGAUGAAGUAAACAUGAUGUUGCACUGGGUAAGCAUGUCCUUCUUCUGCUCGCUCGACUACCAACGCGGUGCUUACCACGUGAGUCGUGCAAGAGAUAUACAAUAGCAGAUCUUCAGCUGGUUGAGUUGACGUAGCUCGUCGGGGUGGCUUCAGUACUGGUGGUGUUGUCAAGAAUUUCUUCAGCGCAUCUAGAGCUUCCUGUGCUUCUGAAGUCCACUGAAACUUAUCCACCUUCUUGAGUAGCUUGUAAAACAGCAAACCUUUUUCCCCCAGCCUGGAUAUAAAUCUGCUCAGAGCUGCCAUACAUCCAGUAAGUCGCUGAACCUUCUUUUGUGAUCGAGGUGCUUCCAUCUUCAUGAUAGCUUCAAUCUUAUCCGGAUUAGCCUCAAUUCCUCUGUGGCUGAUGAUAAACCCGAGUAACUUUCCCGCCGGUACCCCGAAAACACAUUUUUUAGGAUUAAGCUUCCAUCUAUACCGUCUCAGACUGUUGAAAACCAGCUGUAAGUCUUCGAUGAAGUUUUCCGAAUUCUCCGUUUUGAUUACCACAUCAUCUACGUAGGCCUCCACACGCUUGCCCCAGUGAUCGGCUAAGCACGUUUGGAUGGCUCUCUGAUAAGUCGCUCCAGCGUUUUUGAGGCCGAACGACAUGGAGGUAUAACAGAAAGCACCAAAUGGAGUGAUGAACGCCGUUUUUUCCUCGUCUUCCUUCGCCAAACUAAUCUGGUGGUAUCCGGAAUAGCAAUCCAAGAAAGACAGCACAGAACAUCCAGCGGUGGAGUCCACCACCUGAUCUAUCCUCGGGAGCCCGAAGGGAUCCUUCGGACAGUGUUUGUUGAGAUCAGUAUAGUCGACGCACAUGCGCCAAUCCACUUUAUUCUUUUUGAGUACAAGAACAGGGUUGGCUAACCACUCGGGGUGUAACACUUCUCUAAUAAACCCGGCCGCGACCAAGCGAGCUAACUCAGCGCGAAUGGCCUCUCUCUUGUCGGGCGUGAAACGACGUAGCUUUUGCCGAAUCGGCCUUGCCUGGGGAUAGACCUUCAGUUUGUGCUCGGCCAGUUCUCUUGGGACUCCCGGCAUAUCCGCAGGUUGCCAUGCAAAUAUAUCUCGGUUAUCUUGCAGAAACUGGACGAGCGCGCUUUCCUAUUUGUCGUCCAAGCUGGAGCUGAUGAUGGCAGUCUUGCGUUCAUCAGCGAACCCCAAGUUGAUCCUCUUGGUUUCUUCAGUCGGCCGCAUAUAAGUCGCGGCCUCAGCUUCGUUUGCCGGUACUGCAAGGUCAUCUUCAGGCUUAGAGUUCGCCAGUGUCGAAGAAACCGCCGACGGCUUGGUGGUGAGGGCUGCUUGGAUGGCCACUCGGAAACACUCUGCGGCGCCUUGGAAGUCAGCGCGCACAGUUAUGAUUCCUUGAGGCCGUGGCAUCUUCAGUAUCAUAUACGUGUAAUGAGGGAUGGCCAUGAAUUUGGCCAGUCCUGGCCUCCCGAUGAUGGUGUUGUACCCGCAGUCAAAGUUCGCCACUUCGAACCUCAGGAACUCGGUUCUGUAGUUCUCCGGAGUUCCGAAGGUGACUGGCAUGUAGAUGUGGCCCAGCGGGUAUUCCCCUUCCAUCGGCACGAUGCCGAAGAAAGGAGUGUCCGACUCGUGGAGCUCUUUGAGGUGAACUCCCAAGCCUUGGAGUGUCCGGGGGAUGGUGACAUUGAUGCUGCUCCCCCGUCCACUAGCACCUUCUUUACCCGGCUCUCUCGGAUCACCGGAUCGACGAGGAGCGGGUAUUUGCCUGGAUGGUCGAAGUUGAGCCAUUGAUCCUCCCGAGUGAAAGUGAUCGGGUGCUCCGACCACCGGUAUGGGGCGGGAGGACCGGUGGUCGCCACCAGUAUCUGACGAUCGUUGAGCUUUUGUUGUCUUUUGUUCUCCUGCGACCCAUGUCCGCCGAAGAUGACGUUGACCUCCCUGUCGACGCAUGGGAAAGCUCCUCCUCCUACCUCCUCCUGCUGAUGGGGUUGUCGUGGUUCAUCUGGUCCUCCCCUCGGCGGAGGAGGAGGUAGAGGUUGGAAGGGUCAGCCGUGUCCGACGGAAUGCUUGAAGUUUCGGCAGUUACGAAGAGUGUGGCGCAUGUCCUUGUGGUACGGGCACUGGGCGUCGAGGAUGUCGUCCAGCGUGCGUUCGCCUCCACGAGGUCCUCCUCGGGCGCGAGAGGCAGGUGGUCCGGCGGCGUGUACUUCUUCGCGAGGCCUCUUCUCCCAUCGUUUGUCGGGUUGCUGGUUCGCGUCGCGUCGUGGUGCUGCCGGUGCGGGCUUUGCUCCUCCGAUGAGGUCCUGGGCCCGCUCGUCGGCGGUGAUGUAGAGGUCGGCUUCCCGGAACAGCUCCUCGGAGGUAGUCGGCGCCUUCUGUAGUAUGGCUCGGACGAAAGCCGAGUCAUUGGAUCCUCUGUAGAAGUCCUCGAUCACGGCCGCCUCCGUGACCUCGGGGAUACGAUUUCUCAUGGUCUGGAACCUUUUGAGGUACGACCGGAGAGUCUUGUCCCCCCAGCGCUUGAUGGAUUUGAGGUCCCACGGUUGCGCCGGCUUGUCGGAGAGGGACUGGAAGUUGGCGGUGAAGCGUCGACUGAAGUCGCCCCAGUCGUCGAUGCAGUGUCGGGGUAGAUGUCGCAGCCAUUGCAGCGCGUCUUGCCCAAGGACAAUGGGUAAAUACGCGGUCAUCACGUCUUCGGAUGCCCCGGCAGCUCGGGCAGCGGUGGUGUAGACGGCUAGCCAACCCCCUGGAUCUUGCUUAGGUUCAUAUUUGUCGACAUUGGAUACCUUGAAGUUGGGAGGCCAUUGGAUGGCCCUAAGGCGCGGAGUAAGAGCAGACACUCCGCACGUGUCCUCCUGUCGUCGGCGAUGAUGUCUGUCCCGGGGAGGGGAGUUGUGGUUGUGGUUCCUCGACCGCCCCCGGGUGGUACCGCCAGUUGAGGCCGUUGCCGACUCAGUUUUGGUGGCCUGGCUCUGAGCUGGGAUGCCAUGAUCCCUGUCGUACUCCUCCCGGCGGCGGAUCUCGUUCUCAUGCCGCCGUUCGCGCGAAGCAUUGAUGGAGCUUCGCGCGUCUCGGCGACUGUUGAUGGCGUGUCGUAGAUCGUUCGGCGGGUGAGCGAGCGGUAGAAGAUGGUUGGCCGCCUGGGUGAACAGUCGUCGGUAGCCCUCAGCGUCGGGAGUCCAAGGGAGUCCAUCAGCUAUCCGAGCUAGUACCCCUCCGACUUCGCUCGGCGUGUUCAUAGCUCGGGUGAAGUCAGGAUUCAGGUUGCGCCCGAAGAAUGGAUUCUCCCGGCGUUGCCUUGCAUCUUGCUCGGCUUGCUCCUGAGCCCGGCGGCGAUCACGUCGUCGGGAGUUCCUUCGUUCUCUGAAGACGCGUUCUUCCGGAGUCUCUCCUAUCUCCGAGACCUCGUCUCGCGAGACAGGCUGCUCCGGAUCCCGUUCUCCGGCUGCGUGAUGUCGUCGAAUGUUCCUGCGCCGGUUCCUCCGUCGGCGGGAUUCUCUUUGAGGCGGUUCUUCUCCGGGUGCGGUUGGCUUGUCGUCGGAGACGGUAGGCGACUCCACUCUCCCGAUGAAGAGGACGUCGGGGUAGAAUGGUACUGUUGUUGCGGCGACCUUCUUUCCAUUCUCCUUUGAGGGCGGAGGAACGGAAAGAACGACUUGCUUCCCCUUGGUCUCCUUCUUCCUCGCGAUCUGCGUCCAUUCUUUUGUCGGGGAAGUAGACAGUGGAGUUCUCCGGGUCAGCGGGCCCUCGGCCCCUGACUUUCCGGAGAUGAUCUUUUUCCGGAGAGCUAGAGGUUGCGCUUCUCCAGCAUUUUCGGAGUUUGUUAGAGGAGACUUCUUUUCCGGCGGAUCCGCAAUGCGGUGUAGAGUUCCCUCUUCAUCCGCUACGGAUGAGAUUGUUCCGAAGCAGAAUACGGAUCCGGGAUGCAGGGUGAUCUUGCUGUGGAAGGUGACGGCCAUUGAGCUAGCUUGGAUCGUCGACACACCCCCUACCUGGCGCACCAGCUGUCGGUGUUUUGGGUCCGACCGCACACCCGGGGUUGCCCCUCAAGGUGUUUUUAGGAGUAGGAUGGUGUCAACGACUGUAGCAAAAUGGUUCGUGCCGAUUGCAUGAGGGACAGUGAACAAGGUUUACAGGUUCGGGCCGCUUAGAGAUGCGUAACACCCUACGUCCUGGUGAGUAUGCUUGGUGGACAAGGUUACAAGAGAGUUCUCUGGAUUGAGAAUGCAGAGAGUUGGUGUGGGUGGCUAAGUAACAGGGUCGAUCGUUCUGAAGGGGUGCCCCCUAGGCCUUAUAUACUCGACCGUGGGGCAGUACAUGUGGAUAUGAUAACAACAAGUAGCUAAAAGAUAGUGAACUGCUUGAGUUUAUCUCCAUGUAAUUCUGCCGACUUAUCCUCGCAUGGCUCCGUUGCAUGGGGGCUCCAGCGCGGGAAAGUCGGAUCUCUGUUGCGAUCACUCGCUCGACGUUGUGGACCGUCCGGGCUUGCACCAAUUCGGCCUCAUGUCGUUCUACUUUGCUGGUUGUCUCUCCCCAGGCCCACGAAAGAAUGACCUUACGAUUUAUUGGGCCCUUGGGCCUUUCGUGAGGUCUUUUACUCUUUUAGUGGACCCGGGGGAUAUCUAUCCCCCACACCCGCGUCCUCCCCUCGUCCCGCGCCCGCGCGAGUACCGCCGGUGCGAGCUCCAGGCGGCCCGCGUCCUCCCCUCGUCCCGCGUCCGUGUACCGCCGGUGUGAGCUCCGUUGUCCGGCGCCCAGAACUCCUAGGCAAGAUCCCUGUGUUUAUUAAGAUGGAUAAAUGUUGCUUAGAGGUUUGGUUGUAGUAGAAUUUUUUCGAUCAUGUUUGUUAUGUGUGCUAUGGGUAGGAUUAGCUAUCUGUUAUCUGCUAAUGUAUUUCCAAUUUAUAGCUAAAUCUAGCAUGGCUUCCUAGGUAAGAUGUUACAUUCAUAUAACCUUUUACAUCAUAUGCCACAUUGUGAGGUGUUCAUAUGUGUCUAACUAAUAAUUAGUGUGUUCUCCUAUUUGUUGUACAGGAAAAUAUGGAAUGGCCGCACCAGUGUGGAGACUUGAUUUCAUAUAUAUUUAGUUAGGCACAACGAUAGCGCAAACAAUUGAUUACCAAGUUUGUCAAUUAGUAUUUUAGUUUGGAUAUAGAGUACGCUUAUGCAUGAGCUAUUUGACAAUGUUUAUUUAUGAGGUAUAUAAUGGUAAUUAUGAAUGAUAUCAUCCUACUUUCAUAUAUUUGAUGGACAUCACAUAUGCAUCUAGAUUUUUCUCCAAGUUUCAGCAUGUAGUACAUAGGGCCAGGUGUCGAUCCAGAUUGUGGCGCCCGACGAGGUGGGGGCGUGGAGAGUGGCAGGGAAUCCUCAUCGUUGUACUGAAGCUUACAUCAAAGGUACGCGUUAUUUAGUCUAAACUUCAUUGACUUGAGAACACACUGCCAUUUGGUCCUGUUUCUCUACUUAUAGUUGUCAUGAGUGGACAUGUUGCACCCCCAAAGUCAUCGAACUUCUUUGUUGAAUUUGGGAUGGACAGUGGAUAUCACAAAAAAUAUACAUCCAGUUCAUCCAAAGUGCAGGUAACUGUUUUAUUCAUACAUAUAUGAUUAAUCAUCAUUCAUCAUUAUGUGAACUCCAUUGAGCAAGUAUUUUGAUUAUGUUGAUUUUGUAUUACUAAGAUCAUGUAAUGGAUAUUGUCAAUUUAUUUUGUUGCCUUCUUUCAUAAAUUGAUUCACAUGUUUGCAAUUAAAUUAUAUAUGAUAUUAUGUUUCAUACAUUGAUUUUUCGUUGUACUAUUGUGUGUUACCAGAGGAAUGAUCUCAGCGUUAAAAUUGAUUUCUUCCAUGCACUACGCACCACCACCACCACUUGUCGACCUUCUAUUUCAGUAUCUGUGAUAUUGAUUUCUUAUUUGUUAUUCAAAUUCACACCGCAAGUUGCUAAGGUUGAAUGGACAACUUGAGAGAAUUCCAAAACGUUUUCUGUUUCUGAGUACCAUGAUUGAUAAGAGACUUUACUGUUUUUGCAUGAGCAUAUAAUAUUCUGACUCAUGGAAAGUAAUGUAAACCUGCUACAUUUACGCAGGCACUCCUGAGUGAGAUGAGAUGCUAGUUACAAGUGAAAUAACAGGCAGUGUUAUUUGUUAAUCAAGGCACUACUACCCUCAUGCAACUUUCUGAACUGUUGAUAACGGGGAUACUGGUUAGUGAUCAGUUGAUCAUCACAGCUCGUCUCAAUUAUCAACACUGUAACAACAGACAUGUUUCUUGGACCGCUACGAUCCUCCAGUGAUUGCCUCCAAAGGUGUCAGAGUUCAGGUGACAUUGCUCCACUUUGAAGUACUGCUCUGAGGUAUCUUCGGCCACUAUAAAAAAGUCGCUAUGUUGUGUUCUUCAGGCUAGCUACCUUCCGUAGAUAUUGUCUUUACAGGGGAUACUUUUUACCUACACUUUUGUACAACGUAUGCUCUACAGAAUCCUUCAAGUAGCAGGAACUGUCACAAAGGCAAUGGCAGUGACGCCUUUGGGAAUAUUCUCUGUCCUGGUGCUAGGAUGGCUAGGGGAUCAUAUCUGUGUUUCCUCCGUUCAAAUGUCUCCCACCUUGCUCCAAAGUGGGCUUUCCACUGCUGCUAUGUGGUGUAGGGUGCCAGAUACUGUUUCAUCCCAAUACCAGCCUCUUCACAGAACUCCACUAUAUGUUUGUUCAGGUUCAUUGAAUGUGCAAUGCUGCUGUAACCUGAGAGAGACGACGCUGAAGAAAGGAACCCCACUAGGUAGAAAAUUUCCUCAUCUGGUAUGACUACUGACGUUAUGUUGUCCCACCUGCAUCAAAAGGAAAUAGACCAAUUCAGCUACCUUAACCGAAACUAGAUUAACUUAUUAUUUGUGACGGUAAUUUUUUGCAAGUGAAAGCAAGUUACUUCGAUUUGUUCACUAGAUAAAGCAAUAUGGUACCAUUGUUGCUAUCUUUCAGGAUCUUGCCAAAGACUUCCUUAGCAAAUCUGUGGAUGGAGCUCCUCGGUAUUAGAAGAUUCAGCCAAGGAUGUGGAACUUCUCCAAGCUCGCCUUCUGGACGAAUGGUAUGUUCUGUUUUUUGUGACUAUAAUAUUUUGAUUUACAUGUUGAAAAGAACAUGUUGUUUUUUGCUGUAAUUUCUUUUCAUGCUCAUGGAAUAUAUUUUGAUAUGAUGUAAAUUGUUCACAAGGAGCUGUAAAAAUUAUGGCAAACUAUCUUAUCCGCACAAGACACCAAAUCACAAAAUUCUAUGCCCUCAAGUCCCAGCUACAAGGUGUAUCUCUUCGUAUAUAGGUAACUACGCAACACAACUUGAAGAAUUGUAUUUAUUUUGAGACACUCAGUUGGGUAACUUUGUGCAAUUUAUAAUGACAUCGAUGACUAUUGACUUAGUUGACUCAACUUAGUUGACUCCAUCUUCUAUAGCGAGCUUCACUGUACUGUAUUUUUUAUGUUACUAAUAUCCAUAAGAGCUCUCUUUAAAAUCUUGUAUUGGCUGCUGUGCAAUUUUUCAGUCUCUGAAAUCAACACAGGCGAUGGGUGAAGCCAUGAAGUGUGUGACGAAAGCCAUGUGGCAGAUGACUAGACAGAUGAAUCUUCUUGCCUUGUAGAAGAUAAUGCGAGAGUUUGAGAUGCAAAAUGAGAAGAUGGAGAUGGUUGGUGAACUGAUGAACGAUGCCUUCGAUGAUGCCUUGGAGGGUGACGAGGAGGAAAAGAUGGAAUAGAACUCAAAUUUUGGUGACCGCACAAGUGUGGAGACUUGAAUUCAUAUAUAUUUAGUUAGGCUCAAUGUUAACGCAAACAGUCGAUGAUCAAGUUUUUCAAUUAGUAUUUUAGUCUGGAUUUAAAGUACACUUAUGUAUGAGUUAUUUGAUAAUGCUUAUUUAUUAUAAAUUGAAUGAUACUUAUUUAUAUUAUAUUAAUUACAAUGUUAUUAAAUAUAUGUGUAUGUAUAUUUUGCUUUUAAAUUAUUAUAUUGCAGUAUCUAAAAAAUGAUUAUAAAUUGGAGAAUGGACUACCAUAUAAGUCAUUUCGUUUAAAUUUUAAUAAGACGGUUUCUAAAACGUCUAAUAUCAGUAUCCUAAAUAAGAUGGUUUUUCCGUUGCAAGCCUCUAUUAUUAUAGGAUAUACUAUACAGUUUGAUAAAUACUUUGUGACUUAUAACGUUUGUAUUCUCGACGAUUCUUUAAAAAAGUGUCUUAAACAAAAACCUAAUUCAAGACGGUUUACCGAAUAAAAUGACUUAAACAACUACCUUUAUGAGUCGGUUAUAAAUUAAAAAUGUCUUAUGUAAUAUCUUUUAAGACGGUUUAAAGCCAUCUUAAAUGUGGGACAUAUUUUGCGACUCCAUCAAAAUUGGACACUUCAUAAGCGUCUUAAUAACUGAAAAUUAACCGUCUCAUAUAGCAUGAUAUGUAGUAGUGUUGGUCGGAAGCUGUAAAUACAGCUUGCCAUGCCAUAAAUCGGUUCUAUCUUCAUUGCCUCCUCAAGAAGACAUCUUAUGAACUCCUAACUGGUAAAAACUCAAUGUUUCGUACUUUCAUGUAUUUGGGAGCAAAUACUACAUCUUAGUAAAGAAAGGUAGACAUUCAAAAUUUGCUCCCAAAGCUGUAGAAGAGUUUUACUAGGUUAUGAUUCAAAUACAAAGGUAUAUAGAGUCUUCAACAAAUUAUAGGGUUUAGUUGAAAUCUCUAGUGAUGUUGUAUUUGAUGAGACUAAUGGCUCUCCAAGAGAGCAAGUUGAUCUUGAUGAUGUAGAUGAGGAUGAAGUUCCAACGGCCGCAACGUGAACUAUGGCAAUAGGUGGUGUGCGACCGUAGGAACAACAAGAUCAAGAUCAACCAUCUUCCUCAACAUUGGUGCAUCCCCCAACUCAAGAUGAGGAACGGGUACCUCAAGAUGAAGGCAUGGAUCAAGGGGGAGCACAUGAAGAAAAGGAUAAAGAGGAAUAAGCACAACAAGCACAUCCAACUCAAGUCUGGGCGACCAUCCAAAGAAAUCAUCCAGUGGAUCAGAUUCUGGGUGUAAGGCCCAAAAUCUGUAUAAGAAAAAAAUUAAUAAUAAUAAAAUAAAUAUAUGAAGAGAUAAAAUAGUAAAUUCAGAUAUCUCAAAUUAUACUUAAGCAUUGAAAAUUGAGGACAGAAUCUUGAAAACCAAGAACUAUUUUAGAAGAGGAGUAAUAGAGAAUUUUUCUAUUCAACUAAAUGAUCAUGUAUUUCAUGAAAUGAUGCACCAUAAGCAAUCAUUUACAUGAAUAUCUAAUUUUGAAGUAACUUUAAUUCCUAUUCCACAAUCAAAAUAUUAUUUUCCUAAAAAGAAAGGAACAAUAGGAGUGUGUUUCAUAUUUCUAACAUCUAUCAAAUAAGUAAAAUAAUUAAAAUAAAUAUACAUCUAUUGCAUCAUAGAUGAUUUUGAGUAUGUAUUAAAGAAUUGAAUUCCUAACCUUUAUCUUGGAUUUGAAUUUUAAAUUUGUAAAUCAAAAGGGGAUAGAAAAUAGAGAAUGAGAAGGAAAUUCUAGAAUUUAGAAAAGGGAAGAAAAUAAAUAUUAUGUAGAUAAAAAUAAGUAAAUAAAAAUAUAUUAUUCCUACUAGAGUUUGAAUUUGUAUAAUUGACUCAAAGGUGAAACACAUAUUCAAAUUAAAAUUUGGAUUCAAAAUAAUUAUGAAUAAAAAACAAAAAAUAGAAGAAAAAGAAAAGAAGAAAUGCUUGAAUGGGCUGAGAUCCCGCUUUUCGGCCCACUAGGGAAUUACUUCUACGCGGCCCAGUCUUCAUUUCCCACCACGUGCCAACAGAUGGACCCCCCCUGUUAGCUGCUCUUAACCCGCACGUGCAAGAAACCGUCUUGGGUUGACAUGUGGGGCCCAUUGCUCAUCCUCCGGUCGCUGGAAUUCGUCGCUGUGCAGUGGGGCCUGGCCGCCAGUCGUCGUAACGCUUCCUUUCUCUCCUCCUGUCUCUAUCGCGUGGGGUCUCUUUGACAGAGUCAUCGACCUCGCGCGCAUGGCGGACUCCGUUUAACCACCGCGCGAGAAGCUUGGCACGAACGCCUAGGCCCGGUCUCCUUGCCCCGCGUAUAAAUUGGGGUUGUUGCCAACCUCUGUGGCCUCUUCCUCAUCCAGUUGAGAGUCGAAAUACUUCACCGCAGAGAGCUGACCGUGUGUAGAGUGGGCAGAAAGAUCACCGCCGUCGGCGCCACCUCUACACGUUGAGGGCCGGGCGUCGGUGGGUGCCAGGACCACCACCGGGGCAGUCCGCACGUGGUCGAGACCCUUCUGGGCGAGCUGGGCAGCCGGAGUUGUCCGAAUUUCUCGUCGACGCUGUGCAACGCCACCUCCCGCCCCUCGUCGCUAUUAUGGCCCCUACUGCGCGAUUGUCAGUAUGUUUGCGCCCUUGUAUUUUGUAUGCAUCGGGUGAUUCGAGUGUCGCCCUCAAGAUAGUCAUUGGGUUCGUAUUGCGAAAACCGAGGGUCUCGCCGGAGCCCUCCACCGCGGAAUGCCGGCGGCGCCACCCUAGUUCGGCCAGCAGGGGCGUAGGGGGUUAAUGGCGACUUCUGGGCUGUCCGAUCGAUUUUGGGCGUUCAGGAUUAGAACGGCGUACCCUUUCAGUCAAAAGGGAUCGCGGCCGUCUGAUUCGGAUUUGGCGCUCGGGACUCAAUCCGGCCGUUUUAAAUUCAGAGCGUCCAUCUCGGAUCGGGUGGCCGGGAUUUGAUACCGGUUCAUCGCCUGCGGAAUUAGAUCUGUGCCAUCCAUGUGUGAUCGGAUGGCCAGGAUUCAAGGAAACCCCUUCGGCCAGCACAUCUUGCGUAAGAAAUCCUGUCUUUAUAAGAAAUAAACCCGUAGUCCACAGAUUCUAUUCACUAAGUCUAGGAAAUUUUACCCCAGAGACCCUGCACUUCUCUGUUUUUGUCGCGCAGUCUAAACAAUUAAUAAAACAGAGAAAUCAAUUUAGAGAAUGAUUUUUAGUACAAAAAUAAUUACAAAAACUUUUAAAAUUUCUAUAAAAUUUAUAUGAAGUCCAAAUCAAUCCAUUCCAAUUUCUAUAAUUUUAUAAUAUUAUUGUUUAUCAAUUAGUGCCACUGUUUUGACAUGAAAAUCACAUUAUAAUUUUAUAAUCUUUCAUAUGGUAUGUACUAACCAAUUUAUAAAAUAGUUUAAUAUUUAAAUCACAUAGAAUUUUUAUAAAUCAUAACUCCUUAAUAGUAACUCCGAUUUUAGUGGUUCUCAUUCCCACGAUCUCGUAGCAACGCGAAGAUUAUUAUUAUGCAGUAUGUUCUUAUGUUUGAUGUGAUGUUAAUUUUGUCUAUACCAUGUUUGUUUGUAUUGCUACGACAAGCAGUGAGGUUACGAGGAUCUGAAGAAGCACCCUAGUACCUGGAAUCUCAAGUGUCAGGCAAGUUGUGCCCUUGACCACUUCUAUUACCCAAUAAUGUUCUUUAUUAUCACUAUUCAAUGCAUAGGUUUAAUUUUAACGGGACACAAUAGGUCACCCUAGUAUGUUUAUCCUUUGUACCUUGUUUACCCCUGAAUCACUUGGGUAGUUUGUUAUUGCUUUAUAUGGUUUUGGGUUAAUAUUUCAUUAUAUCCAUGUUCUAAUUAUUUUGUUAUUUUAUUUAUGUUCAUGUCAAGAUCAUUAUCUUUAAUUGGAACAUGGAGCUUAACUUGAGAAACACGUGCCACCACAAGGGUGGAAUGGGACGCCCUUGGCUGACUAAUUAGGAAAGCUAGUGGAAGACUACCUUACCCGAUAGGGGCAAGGGCAGUAGGGGAGUUGCAUGUAGCGAGGUUCUCGGGUUGAUUUUGCUGCGAUGGCGGUCAGACGAGUGAUUCUUGCAAGUGCUCUUCCCAUAAACUGUAGCGGGUUUUCGGAAGCUAGUGGAACUUUGUAAAGGCCUCGUAGUGUUACCCUGCCUCGCUUCCUUGGUAGAGGUGUAUGGGAUUCAUGACCCCUUGGCAGACGGGUAACAUGACUUGUGGGUACAGGGUACAACCUCUGCAGAGUGUAAAACUGGUAUAUUAGCCGAGCUCACGGUCAAGAGCAGCUCAGUACUCUCGCAUGAUAAAAUUAUGGAACUUAAACUCAAUUUGUCAUAUGCAUUGCAUGGGAUUUAUUAUUAAUGUUGUUCUAUUAUUUAUUAUGGUUUAGUAUUUAUUCACAUUUAGUAACUGCUAAUAAAAUUUGACCAACUUAUUAAUAGAAAUGCUCACCUUUAACCCCUAUUGUUGAUCAGCCUUACACUUCACAUGAACUCCCACCUUUGAUGAGUUCAUGCCACAUUAUUCCCCACAACUUGUUGAGUGAUGAACAUAUGUGAGCUCACCCUUGCUGUCUCACACCCCCCAUAGGAGAAGCACAGGUGGUUCAAGAGGAGCCACACAGCGAGGAGUUUGACUUGAUCUAGGUGGCGUCUCCUAAUUGACUUUGUGGCGCCAAGGAUGGACUUUAGUUCGAUCUAUAUUUAUCUUUUAUUUUGUAAGACUUUCGCUAUGUAAUAAAUACUCGGAUUAUAUCGUGACAUUUAUCUCUAUACACUCUGUUAUUAUAUAUGUUGUCUUUUUUGGCGCAUGUAUGAGAUGCACCCAGCUUUGUCCCUUAAAUCCAGGUGUGAUAGAAGUGGUAUCAGAGGAAUGUUGACUGUAGGACGAAACCUAGAUAGAAAUGGACAAACCCUUACCUACUUACCUUACUCUGAUUCUUAUCUAAACUUUUCUUAACCAUUUCUCAUGUAUUUCCGCUUUACUCUGAUUACUCAUACCUUUUCCUUCUAAAGAUAAAUGUGGAUUUCACACUUUAAAAUCCUGUGCCUAAAGUGACCUUUAGGAAUAGGAGACCUACUCUUAGGAACAAAAAUAAAAGUAUUUUUAUAGGUAUCUAUAAGCCUGAGUGUUUGUUCUUGUGAUAUUUGUUUGAUUUGGAUCUUUGAUUGAGUGUGAUGAGUUGUGGAGUAAUGUCCACAAUUACAUCUGCAUAUACGUAUAGGCAUAAAUAUAAAUAAAUAAAAUUCAUGAGAUAACUAAACAACUUAGAUUAUCCUCCAUUAAAGAGGGAUCUAUUUAAAAUAGAUACACUUUAAUGGAUCCCUCUUAACUUAAAGGAAUCUAUCUUAUCCUAAUAGGUUCAUCUUGUGUUAAAAAUUAUCUUAUCCUCUUAAAUUGUUUAUAAGAUAAACUAGACCAACUAAAAAUACCCCCACUAGAAUAUAUCAAAUAGAUCCAUCUUAUCUUAUAAGAUUCUCUCUUAUAUUAAUAGAUCCUUCUUAUCCCGAAAAUAUUUUACCUUAGCCUAAUAGUUCUAACUAAUCUCAAAAGAUUCUAUCUUAUUCUUAGAGACUCAUCUUGUCCUAAUAAGCAUACUUAUCCCCACCACUUUGCUUAUCUCAUAACAGUGUAACAAACAUGAUCUAUCCCAAAAUAAAUUAAGUAGAUCUUAUCUAGUCUAAUCUGGUUAUACUAAUUUAAAUCAUGAUCCCAUCUGAUCAGAUCUAAUCUAAUGGACAAACAUGAUAGAUAAUACUGGGAAAAUAGAUUGGACCCUACUUCUAUAAGCAUGUUUUAACCUAAAUUGGUGCCCUAGAUUAACUACCUAACCAUGCAUAUGCAACUACCUUAACCACCGGAUAGUUGCAUAACCCAUUUGUUUUAACCUAACAGAGAUUCUGAUCUACCUUCACCAUAUAAUCCAUCCCAUCCCAAAAAAUUCUAACAUAUUCCAAUAAUAUAUAUCCUACCCUAGUAUAUCUAUCUAACUUAAACUAGUCUGAUCUAGUUAUAUCCAAUCUAAUCUAGACCCUACCGAAUAUAAUAUGUUCCAAUCUAAAGGGAGUGACUUAAACAAGUCAGUUAAUAUUGGUAACAUAGAUUAGACCAUAUUCUUAUAAAUGGGUGUUAAACCUAAACGGGUGUCUUAGACCAACUCGUCCGUGAAACCACGACCUCGCCUAUGUUAUAGGUUGCCCAACCCAUUUAUCCCAAAAGCAAAGUAAUAUUAUGUUUAACCUACCUACCCUAUGUACCCAUAAUUGUUAGUCCAACUAAGAUAAUGGUAUUUAACAUCACAACCGAUGGUCCCUAAAUCAGACCCAAGGAGAAGGUUAACCUCGACAAUGAAGAAUAUGAGUAGAAACAGAUCUUCGGAUGAAUCAAGAUUCAGCACCCAGAAUAGAAGUCUUCCUUACCCGACUUCCUUUUACCCCCAAAUCUUCUCUACACUCACCUACUAGCUAAAACCUGAUGUACCCUUGUUUUCUAUGCCACACCUGUUAAUGACAUGAAAAUUUUAGGUGUAUAAAAAUAUAUACUAAUUGUGAGUUCCACUAAAAAAAUAUACUAGAACUCCAUAAAGAUAAAGUCAGCUGGACAUGCUCAACUAAAUGGUAUUCUUAAAUAGGAUUGUAGAAUCUAAUGUGAGCUAAGCUAAUAUGAUCUAAUCUAAUGUGGUCUACUUAAACAGAUCAGUGAUACUGGUAGAAGAGAUUAGAUCCUACUAACCAGGUGUUAACUUAACUUAACACAUUAGACCAACUCAACCAUGAGCUAACUCAACCAAUAGAGUCAUGAUGAAUUGAUUAGUUAUAUGUCCCCACCUAACCUCAAACAAACUUUUGACCUACAUCGUGUAAUCUAUCUCAUCAUGAUAGAUUCUAGCUUACCUUUGGAUAUUCACCUUAUACGACUAGUUACCCCAAUCUGGGCAUAAAACAAAGAUUAAGCCCUGCUAAAGAAUCUUUAGAUCAUAAACAACUACUAACCUAUUCAUUCUGCUUACCAAAUACUUUCUAUUGCAAAACUAUCCUACCAUAUGCUUCUAACUCUCAUGAUCAAUACCAGUAAGGGAAGAUUAUCGGGCAACAGCAAACAUAAAUGAAUCCUCCAGAUCCUCCCCCCGUUGGAAUCGAUCAAGUGGCUGCCGCCCAAAUGAUGGUAAUACAACAAAUGGCAAACAUAGUUACCGAAAUGCAAAAUCAGAUAAGACAAGAACGCUAGAAAAUACGUCAGGGCCAACUGGAGAUACAUCAAGAAAUAAGGCAGGCACGGUUGGAAAGACAACAACAACAACGUCCACUACCUCCACCACCACCACCAGCUCCACCAAUAUACAUAAAUAUAUAUACUACUAUUUGUAAGAUCUAAGUGUUACUUUAGUUAGUGGUUGGUAUGAUACUGUUUUAGGAGGAAUAAUAAGGUCUAAUUGACCCCAUGUGUUGCUAAUAAAUUAUGCAUCAUGCUGAGAUUUUUGUUUGUGCAUAUGUUCUAAGAUAACAUGGUUAUACACCCUUUUCUUACAAAUCUCGAGGACAAGAUUUCUGUUAAGGGGGUAGGAUUUGUAAGGCCCAAAAUCUGUAUAAGAAAAAAAUUAAUAAUAAUAAAAUAAAUAUAUGAAGAGAUAAAAUAGUAAAUUCAGAUAUCUCAAAUUACACUUGAGUAUUGAAAAUUGAGGACAGAAUCUUGAAAACCAAGAACUAUUAUAGAAGAGGAGCAAUAGAGAAUUUUUCUAUUCAACUAAAUGAUCAUGUAUUUCAUGAAAUGAUGCACCAUAAGCAAUCAUUUACAUGAAUAUCUAAUUUUGAAGUAACUUUAAUUCCUAUUCCACAAUCAAAAUACUAUUUUCCUAAAAAGAAAGGAACAAUAGGAGUGUGUUUCAUAUUUCUAACAUCUAUCAAAUAAAUAAAAUAAUUAAAAUAAAUAUACAUCUAUUGCAUCAUAGUUGAUUUUGAGUAUGUAUUAAAGAAUUGAAUUCCUAAACUUUAUCUUGGAUUUGAAUUUUAAAUUUGUAAAUCAAAAGGGGAUAGAAAAUAGAGAAUGAGAAGGAACUUCUAGAAUUUAGAAAAGGGAAGAAAAUAAAUAUUAUGUAGAUAAAAAUAAGUAAAUAAAAAUAUAUUAUUCCUACACUAGAGUUUGAAUUUGUAUAACUGACUCAAAGGUGAAACUCAUAUUUAAAUUCAAAUUUGGAUUCAAAAUAAUUAUGAAUAAAGAAAAACAGAAAAUAGAAGAAAAGGAAAAGGAGAAAUGCUUGAAUGGGCUGAGAUGCCGCUUUUCGGCCCACUAGGGAAUUACUUCUGCACGGCCUAGUCUUCAUUUCCCACCACGUGCCAAUAGGUGGACCCCCCUAUCAGCUGCUCUUAACCCGCGCGCGCAAGAAACCGUCUUGGGUUGACGUGUGGGGCCCGUUGCUCAGCCUCCGGUCGUUGGAAUUCAUCAUUGUGCAGUGGCGCCUGGCCGCCAGUCGCCCUAACGCUUCCUUUCUCUCCUCCUGUCUCUGUCGCGUGGGGUCUAUUUGACAGAGUCGUCGACCUCGCAUGCAUGGCGGACUCCGUUUAACCACCGCACAAGAAGCUCGACAUGAACGCCCUGGCCCGGUCACCUCGCCCCGCAUAUAAAUUGGGGUCCUUGCCAACCUCCGCGGCCUCUUCCUCAUCCAGUUGAGAGUCGAAAUACUUCACCGCAGAGAGCUGACCGUGUGUAGAGUGGGGCGGAAAGCUCGUCGCUGUCGGCGCCACCUCUACACGUUGAGGGUCGGGCGUCGGUGGGUGCCGGGACCACCACCGGGCACUCCGCACGUGGUCGAGACCCUUCUGGGCGAGCUCGGCAGCCGAAGUUGUCUGGAUUUCUCGAUGACGCUUUGCAACGCCGCCGCCCGCCCCUCGUCGCGAUUAUGGCCGCUACUGCGUGAUUGUCGGUAUGUUUGCGCCCUUGUAUUUUGUAUGCAUCCGGUGAUUCGAGUAGCCGCCCUCGAGAUAGUCAUUGGAUUCGUAUUGCGAAAACCGAGGGUCUCGCAGGAGCCCUCCGCCGCGGAAUGUCGGCGGCGCCACCCUAGUUCAUCCAGCAGGGGCGUCGAGGGGUUAGGGGCGACUUCUGGGUCGUCUGAUCGAUUUUGGGCGAUCAGGAUUUGAACGGCGUACCCUUUCGAUCAAAAGGGAUCACGGCCGUCCGAUUUGGUUCUGGCACUCGGGACUCAAUCCGGUAGUUUUAAAUCUGGAGCGUCCAUCUCGGAUCGGGUGGCUGAGAUUUGAUACCGGUUCAUCGCAUGCGGAAUUAGAUCUGUGCCAUCCGUGUGUGUUCGGAUGGCAAGGAUUCAAGGAAACCCCUUCGGCCAGCACAUCUUGCGUAAGAAACCUUGUCUUUAUUAGAAAUAAACCCGCAGCCCACAGAUUCUAUUCACCGAGUCUAGGAAAUUUUACCCCAAAGACCCUGCACUUCUCUGUGUUUGUCGCGCAGUCCAAACAAUUAAUAAAACAGAGAAACCAAUUUAGAGAAUGAUUUUUAGUAAAAAAUUAAUUACAAAAACUUGUUAAAUUUCUAUAAAAUUCAUAUGAAGUCCAAAUCAAUCCAUUCCAAUUUCUAUAAUUUUAUAUUAUUAUUGUUUAUCAAUUAGUGCCACUGUUUUGACAUGAAAAUCAAAUUAAAAUUUAUAUCCUAUUUAAUUUUGUACAAAACACAUAGAAUCUUUAGAAAUUCAUAACUUAAACUCUAUAACUCCGGAUUGACCCGUUCCAGUUGUGUUAGCUUCAUAUGAGUAUUUACUACGUAGUAACAACAUCAAUUAUACCAUGUCGCAUACUUUUAUAUUUAUUUACCCUAUGUCUACUAGACUACCUUUUCUAAACCAAAUUUAACUUGUCCGUGAUUAUAAUAUGAUUAAAGCAUGAUCUCGAGUCAAGUUAUGAUUAAAAUUUAAGUUGAAUUAAUUAUUUAUGGAAUAAUCUCUCAUAUGGUAUGUACUAACCAAUUUAUAAUAUGGUUUAAUAUUUAAAUCACAUAGAUCUUUUAUAAAUCAUAACUCCUUAAUAGUAACUCCGAUUUUAGCGGUUCUCGUUCCCACGAUCUCGUAGCGACACGUAGAUUAUUAUUAUACAUUAUGUUCUUAUGUUUGAUGUGAUGUUAAUUUUGCCUAUACCAUGUUUGUUUGUAUUGCUACGACUAGCAGUGAGGUUACGAGGAUAUGAAGAAUCACCCUAGUACCUGGAAUCUCAAGUGCCAAGCAAGUUGUGCCCUUGACCACUUCUAUUACCCAAUAAUGUUCUUUAUUAUCACUAUUCAAUGCAUACGUUUAAUUUUGAUGGGACCCAAUAGGUCACCCUAGUCUGUUUAUCCUUUGUACCUUGUUUACCCAUGAACCACUUGGGUAGUUUGCUAUUGCUUUAUAUGGUUUUGGGUUAAUAUUUCAUUAUAUUCAUGUUCCAAUUAUUUUGUUAUUUUAUUUAUGUUCAUGUCGAGAUCAUUAUCUUUAAUUGGAACAUGGAGCUUAACACGUGCCACCACAAGGGUGGAAUGGGACGCCCUUGGCUGACUAAUUAGGAAAGCUAGUGGAAGACUACCUUACCCAAAAGGGGCAAGGGCAGUAGGGGAGUUGCAUGCAGGGAGGUUCUCGGGUUGAUUUUGCUGCGAUGGCGGUCAGACGAGGGAUUCUUGCAAGUGCUCUUCCCAUAAACUGUAGCGGGUUUUCAGAAGCUAGUGGAACUUUGUAAAGGCCUCGUAGUGUUACCCUGCCUCGCUUCCUUGGUAGAGGUGUAUGAGAUUCACGACCCCUUGACAGACGGGUACCAUGACUUGUGGGUAUAGGGUACAACCUCUGCAGGGUGUAAAACUGGUAUACUAGCCGAGCUCACGGUCAAGAGCAACUCAGGACUCUCGCAUGAUUAAAUUAUGGAAAUUAAACUCAAUUUGUCAUAUGCAUUGCAAUGGAUUUAUUAUUAAUGUUGUUCUAUUAUUUAUUAUAGUUUGGUAUUUACUUACAUUUAGUAACUGCUAAUAAAAUUUGACCAACUUAUUAAAAGCAAUGCUCAGCUUUAACCCCUAUUGUUGAUCAGCCUUACACUUCACAUGAACUCCCACCUUUGUUGAGUUCAUGCCUUAUUCCCCACAACUUGUUGAGUGAUGAACAUGUGUGAGCUCACCCUUGUUGUCUCACACCCUCCACAGGAGAAGCACAGGUGGUUCAAGAGGAGCCACACAGCGAGAAGUUUGACUUGAUCUAGGUGGCGUCUCCCAGUUGACUUUGUGGUGCCAAGGAUGGACUUUAGUUCGAUCUAUAUUUAUCUUGUAUUUUGUAAGACUUCCGCUAUGUAAUAAAUAAUCGGAUUAUAUUGUGAAAUUUAUCUCUAUACACUCUGUUAUUAUAUAUGUUGUCUUCUUUAGCGCAUGUAUGAGAUGCACCCGGCUUUGUCCCUUAAAUCCGGGUGUGACACUGGAUGGCAUCAGCAAGGGAGUAACUACUCGCUCACAUUUAGCUAACUUUUGUAAGCAUUACUCUUUUGUUUCUUCUAUUGAUCCUUUCAGGGUAGAAGAAGCCUUGCAGGAUCCGGACUAGGUGUUGGCCAUGCAGGAAGAGCUCAACAACUUCAAGAGAAAUGAAGUAUGGAGCCUGGUGCCAAGUCCAAAGCAAAAUGUUGUAGGAACCAAGUGGGUGUUCCACAACAAGCAAGAUGAGCACGGUUUCGUGACUAGAAACAAGGCUUGACUUGUGGCAAAAGGUUAUGCCCAAGUCGCAGGUUUGGAUUUUGAGGAGACUUUUGCUCCUGUAGCUAGGUUCAAGUCAAUACGCAUAUUAUUGGCCUAUGCUGCUCACCACUCGUUUAAGUUGUUUCUAAUGGAUGUGAAAAGCGCCUUCAUCAAUGGACCAAUCAAGGAGGAAGUAUACGUGGAACAACCCCCUGGCUUCGAGGAUGAAAGGUAUCCCGACCAUGUGUAUAAGCUCUCUAAGGCGUUCUAUGGACUUAAGCAAGCUCCAAGAGCAUGGUAUGAAUGCCUUAGAGACUUUCUCAUUUAUAAUGCUUUUAAUGUCGGGAAAGCGGAUCCUACCCUUUUCACUAAGACUUGUAAUGGUGCUUUAUUUGUAUGCCAAAUAUAUGUCGAUGACAUAAUAUUUGGUUCUACUAAUCAAAAGUCUUGUGUAGAGUUUAGCAAGGUGAUGAUGCAAAAAUUUGAGAUGUCUAUGAUGGGCGAGUUGAACUACUUCCUUGGAUUCCAAAUAAAGCAACUCAAGGAAGGAACAUUCAUGUCCCAAACAAAGUACACUCAAGAUUUACUCAAGAGGUUUGGGAUGAAGGAUGCAAAGCCCACUAAGACGCCGAUGGGAACGGACGGACACUUGGACCACAACAAAGGAGGUAAGUUCAUUGAUCAAAAGGCAUACCAGUCUAUGAUAGGUUCUUUACUUUAUCUUUGUACUAGUAGACCGGAUAUAAUGCUUAGUGUAUGCAUGUGUGCUAUAUUUCAAUUCGACCCAAGGAAUGUCAUCUUGUGGCUGUGAAGCGAAUUAUUAGAUAUUUAGUUUCUAUGCCUUGCUUCGGGAUCUGGUAUCCAAAGGGUUCUACCUUUGACUUAAUCGGAUAUUUAGAUUCCGACUAUGCCGGGUGCAAGGUUGAUAGGAAGAUCGCAUCAGGGACUUGUCAGUUUCUGGCAAGGUCCCUAGUGUCUGGAGCUCUAAGAAACAAACAUCUAUAGCCCUAUCAACCACUGAGGUCGAGUAUGUUGUCGUAGGACAAUGUUGCGCGCAACUGCUUUGGAUGAGGCAAACCCUCUAGGACAUUGGCUACAAUCUAAGAAAAGUCUCACUCCUAUGUGACAAUGAGAGUGCGGUCUGCUUGGCGGAUAAUCCUGUUGAACAAAGCCGCACUAAACACGUAGACAUCCGGCAUCACUUUCUGAGAGACCACCAGCAAAGGGGAGAUAUCGAUAUUUAUCAUAUUAGCACCGAGAAAAAGCUAGUCGAUAUCUUCACCAAGCCUUUAGAUGAGAAAAGGUUUUGCAGGUUGUGUUGUGAGCUAAAUGUCUUAGAUUCGCAGAACUUGGAUUGAUCUAUAGCAUACAUGUGUUUUAUGCCUUUGAUCAUGUUACUUUAAGCAUUAUUGUCUUUACUUGCUUAUUUUUGGUGCUCAAGUUGUACAAGUCAUCCCCGGACAUCACAAGUCCCUAUGCACAUGAUGCACAUGUUUAGUGGGAGGAUGUACUACAACUUGAUCCUUUGAGACUAAUGUGUUCGCUUGAGUUCCUUUGAUAUAGUCUCAAAGAUGAAUUGAAAGGGAAUAGGUGGACUUGGACAAAGAAUAGGCUUCCACUGCAUUCCGGUAUCAAUGUAUCUUGUCUCAAGUUCUUAUCUGUGUUUUCUCAUUGCCUUUGGUUUUUUACUCGAGAUUUUUGUGAGGCAAUGAGGUUAAAGGGGCCUAAUAGUUCUUCUAUUUUGGUGCUUAAUACCAAAUGGGGAGAAAAUUAAGGCCAAAGCAACUGGAUCAGCCAACCACUUGUGAAUUUUAAAAUUUUAGUGUUAGAAUUCUUGGUGUUUGAUCAAAACCCUCUUAUUGCAAAAAUAGUUCUCUUGUGGGGGAGAAAUUAGAUUACGGGAAAAGGGGGGAGUUUUUGGUAUUUGAUCAAAACUAUUCUUGAAAGAUCUUUGGAUUUGCCAAAACAAAUGUUUUUGACCUAGAGAAAGGAAAAUGAAUUUGUUUUGCGAAAAUAAACUAAGUGGUGGCAAAAGUGAUCCAAAUAUGCCAAAUCCUAUAAUGAUUUUAUUUGUCUUCAACUUGACAUCAAUUUGCUCUUCUUAGCUCUUUUGGAUAUGUUAGUUCAUUUUGAUUUGUUUUUUGAUCUGUUGGCAUAAAUCACCAAAAAGGGGAGAUUGAAAGGGAAAUGUGCCCUUGGGCCAUUUCUAUAUUGUUUUGGUUAUUAGAUGCACAUCACAUUAUGUUUGAACUAACAUGAUAUUGAGCAAAAGUGUUUGAGACAAAAUGAGCUCGGAAGAGGACUUAGUGCAAAUAUAUAUGGAUCAAGCUAAAAGGUAUGCUCUGGACACUAAGUCGAUUGAUUUAUGUGCUAAUCAUGUUUGUCUAAGUGUCAGGGACUCAGUUAAGUGAAGUCCAAAAGAAACAAAGGAAGACAAAGGAAGAAACAAACAAAAAGUGCUGGACUGCCCUACACCGGACAGUCCGGUGCCCCCGGAAGCGGAAACCAGCCAAACAGGGGAUUCUCUACCGCUCCCAGGGCGCGUACUGUUCAUUGCCCGUUGUGCACUGGACAGUCUGGUGCACCCACAGACAGAAGGCAACCAGGGCCUUCCAAAUGGAGCUCCAACGGCUCUUAGUUGCCUUGGGGCUAUAAAAGGGACCCCUAGGCACAUGGAGCAGUAUACCAAGCCUCCAUUGAACAUCCUAAGACACCUAGACUCCACAAGCACGCAUUCGGUUCAUUGCGAUUGAGAUUUGAGCACUUCUUUGAGCUGUGACUUCGCUGCAUUAGUUUGUGUGCUCAAGUCUUGACUUGUGUGUGUGUUGUUGUUGCGACUCUAGUUCUUGUGUGUGUUUCUAUUCCCUCCCUUAGGUUUAAUUGUGAUCAAUCUUGUAGGGUGAGAGGCUCCAACUUGUGGAGAUUCCUCACAAAGGGAAACACUUGAUAAAAAGGAAAAAAUUGUGGUACUCAAGUUUGAUCGUUGGAUCAUUUGAGAAGGAUUGAGUGCAAUCCUUGACCGAAGGAGGUCACCACAACGUGGAGUAGGCAUUGGCCGAACCACGAGAUAAAAUCAUUGUGUCACUUGCGCAUCUUUUUCUGUGAUUGUCUUCUUCCAUAGUGUUGUCAUAUAUUCACUUGCGCUAUUAUUCCUAAGUUCAAUACAUAUCAUAAAGGAACAAUCAAGUGAAGAGUUCUCUCCUCUCUAUUCACAUCAUCUUGGUUUUUGAUCUCACUAUCAUUUGUUAUAAACCAAGUUUGGGUUGUUUAGACUUGAUUUUUAUAGGAUCACCUAUUCAUCCCCCCCUCAAGGUGCUCUCAAGUAUCAGAGCAUGGUUUGACUCAUUUGAAACAUUUUAGCUUCACCGCUAAUCGAGUCGAUGCUUUUUAGAGGAAGGGGAUGGAUACCCAUAGGCCACCACACUUCGACAGCACUAACUUCCCAUAUUAUAGUGCUAGAAUGACUUGUUACCUAAAGGUUGUUGAUCUAGGUGUUUGGAGAGUCACUCGUGACUAGAUGAAACCACCUAAAAAUCCCGAGAAGCUCACCACGAGUGAAGAAAAGGAAAUUCAUUUGAAUGCUAGAGCCAAAAAUUGCUUGUAUGAAUCUCUUAGCAUGGAAAUUUUCAAUCAAGUGUUUACAUUAAAAAUUGCUAAUGAGAUUUGGCUAAAAUUGCAUGAGCUCCAUGGCGGCCCAUCCAAUGUCCAUGAGCAAAAACAUUGCCUAGUUUUAAAUGAGUACAAUUCCUUUGCCAUGAAAGAAAAUGAGCUUGUUAGAGACAUGUACUCUCGUUUAAAUCUAAUCAUCAAUGAGCUCAACUCUGUUGGCAUUAAUAAGCUAGGUGAUGCGGACAUUGUGAGGAAGAUUAUCUCCCUACUACGACAACAAAGAUAUGGGAGCAUCAUCACCAUUCUGCACAACAUGGAGGACUUGAGUACAAUGACCCCGACAAUUGUGAUCGGAAAGAUUGCGGCAUUUGAAAUGUCACAAAAAAUGGGUCGACAAGAGGAGCCAACUUCUUCAAGACCAUAUGCUUUUGCAUGUGAUGAAAAGAACAAGGGAAAGAAGAAGGCUCCCACUCCAAGCUCCUCAAGUGAAGAAGAUGAAGAAUAAGAAAGUGAUGAUCAUGAAGAUAAUCAACCAUCAACAUCAUCCUCUGAGGAUGAAGAAAAAAUUCGACGCGUCAGAAAGGUAAUGGGGAUGAUCCACAAGAUUAAUCUAAUGGUGUGCCUCUGCAGGUCGAGGAUUUUCUCUUUAACAUUGACAGGAAAAAGCAAAGAAAGAGAGGAUGCUUCGCAUGCGGGGAGAAGGGCCACUUCAGGGACAGCUAUCCAAAUAUGGUCGAACCCAAAAUGGGGAGGAGCAAAGGCAAGGCGCUUUCAAGUGUCAAAACAUGGAAUGACUCUUCAAGCGAAGACAAACCUCCAAGGACACACAGCCACCGAUCCUCAUCACGCUCAUCACAUUCAUCACGCAAGUGCCUUAUGGAAAGAGGUAUAAUGAGUAUUCCAUCCUCUAGUGAUAAUAGCAGUAGUGAUGAUGGUGAAGGUGAGGGAAAGCCCUCCAUAGAUGAGCUUGCGGAAGCCGUUAAAUUUUUUGAGAAUGUAUGCACUAAACAAAAGACUCAACUUCAAACUUUGAAAAAUAAGUUGAUUAGCUCUCAAAAUGAUUAUAAAUGUUUGCUAGAAAAAUUUGAAACAUUUGUAAAUUUACAUUGUGAGCUAACAACUAAAAUUGAGCAUUUAGAGUCUAAUGCUCCAUCCUCAGCUACCGAUGAUGGCCUUAUUAAAGAGAGUGAAAAACUUAAGGCUAAGGUAGCUAGCUCUCAAGAAGCAAUUGAAAACUUGCUAGAGAAAAUGGAAAUUCUUAGCAUACACAAUAAUGAGCUAACUACAAAGCUAGAAAACAUUGGUAGCACCUCAUAAGUAUCUUUAGUUGAAAUACCAGAAACUAUUAAGAAAGAUGCUUCUACUUCUUGCUUUGAAUUAAUUGAUGAUUCUAAUCCCUGCAAUCAAGUUCUUGUUAAGAAUGUUGUUAUAGAAACAUGUUCGAAUGAGAUUGCAAUGGAGAAUGAAUAAUUAAAGCAAGAGGUGGCUCGCCUUGGCAAGACCUUAUAUGACAAGAAAGGCAAAGCCAAACAAAUCCAACCUCCCAAGGAUAACACCACUGCGGGAGUGAACAAGCCUGUGGAGGGAGAAACUGUGGUUUGUAGGCUAUGCCACAAGGAAGGUGUUGGGGGUCAGCUUCGUCGCCGAAGGUCCUGUAAGAAGAAAUACCUUCGGAAGAUUAACAUAGAAGCAAUGUCGAAGCUACGAUCCACGGAGCUUCGGCAUAGUGACACGCCUUGAGACGAAGGGUUGCACUGACUUAAAGAUGAAAAGACCGAUCGGCCCAUGAUAAUCUUUGUCAUGAUUGUAACCAGUUAUAAAGGACAUGAAUGUAAAUCCACACAGGCUGCGCCCUGUGCCUAUAAAUAGAUGAACAGUACCCCCGUACUGUUCACGCAGACUUGUAUUCGCUUGUGCAUCACGCUUGAACUUUUUGCCUUCUGUCAAGCCAAAGGUAUAAAUGUAAUUUAGUAUUGUUCUUAUUUAUCCAUGAUGAUAUAAUAAAGAUACAUUAACAAUGUCAUAUGAUUAUCCAUGUUAUUUCUCAUGUUUUAUAUGCUUCGUCUUUCAUUAAUUUACGCUAUGAUGAUGAAGGUACGUCCUUCACAACCUUCGUCCGAAGAUUGUUAUAUCCUAAGGGAAAUAAUGCUUCGAAGGACGAAGGGCGUUAACUAUUAACCACUUUUUGUGUUGCCUUGUUCUUAACUCAUAGCAUUUGAGAACAAGUCCCCAACAUUGGCGCCCACCUCUGGUGAACUCACUUCCACUUUUGAGCUGAUGGCUUCGUUCUACAACCAAGCCGAAGUACCUUCAGCUACGAAGCUGGUGCUCCAUAUAACAGGCGGCUCAGGUUCAGAGCCGGCUAACAAAAAGUAGAAGAAAGAAGCACAGAGAAGGGUACAACAAGUUGGGGUGCAGGGACCCUUCAUCAAAUCAAAAUGGUCCCAUAUCCCAAUCACCUUCUCCCAGGAUGACCUUUAGCUCAAAGAUUACCCUCACAAUGAUGCUAUGGUCAUAUCUUGUGUCAUCAACGGAUUUCUGGUCCAUAAUGUUCUGGUUGAUAUAGGUAGCGCAGUGGAUAUCAUAUUUGCUAAGGCAUUCAGACAGAUGCAAGAACCAUAGGAUAAGAUUCAUGAUGCUACACAUCCUCUAUGUGGCUUCGGAGGAAGGCAGAUUGUAGCACUCAGCAAAAUCACAAUGCCAGCAACCUUCGGCUUCGUUCAUAACACAAGGACUGAACAUGUCGUAUUUGACAUUGUUGACAUGGAGUACCCCUAUAAUGCAAUUGUUGGUUGUGGGACACUCAAUGCUUUCCAAUACUUCAUCCAGCAUAUUUAUGCAUGAAAAUAACUUUGGAACAAGGGCCAUUGCUAUUCAUGGGAGUCAAGAAGCUGCCAGAAAGGCCGAAGGAAACUGGACAGAUUCAAAGGCAAUCCAUAAUAUAGAUGGAGCUGAAGCCUGUGAACAGUAUAGAUACAAAAGAGAGAAGGCUGCUUCGGCGGAUCAGCCGAAGCCUAUGCUUCUGUGUGAAGAUAUAGCAGAACAAAAGGUACUGCUAGGGUCUCAGUUAUAUGAAGAGCAGGAGAAGAAUUUGCUAAGAUUUUUAUUCAACAACAAAGAUGUCUUCGCUUGGUUAGCCAAUGAUCUUUGUGGUGUCAAUAGAGAUGUCAUUGAACAUUCGCUCAAUGUAGAUCCAUCUUUUAGGCCAAGAAAACAAAGGCUUCGGAAAAUGUCUGAUGACAAAGCUGAAGGUGCUCGGAACGAAGUAAAGAGGCUUCUUAGUGCUGGCGUUAUCAGAGAGGUGAAAUACCUAGAGUGGUUAGCCAACACUGUUAUGGUGAAGAAGGCCAACGGUAAAUGGAGAAUGUGCAUUGAUUUUACAGAUCUUAACAAGGCUUGUCCAAAGGAUGAGUCCCAUUACCAAGAAUAGAUUCUCUAGUAGAUGCAGCGGCUUCGUCAGAGCUCAUGAGUCUACUAGAGUGUUACUCAGGCUACCACCAAAUCUGGAUGAAGAAGGAAGAUGAGCCGAAGACUAGCUUCAUAACCCCCAAUGGUACAUAUUGCUAUCUUUGAAUGCCUGAGGGGCUUAAAAACGCUGGAGGAAGUUUUAGCAGAAUGACAGCCAGAGUCCUUCAUUCUCAAAUAGGCAGGAAUGUGUUGAUCUAUGUUGAUGAUAUCAUAGUUAAAAGCAUGAAGCAAGAAAAUCACAUUGCUGAGUUGCAAGAGACAUUCGCCAAUUUCAGGCAAGCUGGUUUGAAGUUAAAUCCAAAAAAGUGUGUUUUUGGGGUAAAGAAGGGCAAGUUCCUUGGCUGUCUAGUAUCAACGAAGGGAAUUGAAGCUAACCCAAGCAAGAUUGAAGCUAUCCUUCGGAUGGAACCACCAAGUACAAAGAAAGGGCUCAACGGCUGGCAGGCAGAUUAGCAUCAUUAAACAGAUUCAUAUCUAGAUCAGCAGAAAGAAAUCUGCCAUUCUUUGAAAUACUGAAGUCAGCCGAAGUCUUUCAAUGGGGCCCGACUCAGCAAAAAGCCUUCGAAGAAUUGAAGCAAUAUUUGAUUGAUUUAACAACAUUAACUCCACCUUCGACAGGGGCUCCAUUGCUCUUAUAUGUUGCAGCUUCGCAUUCUGCAGUAAGUGCGGCACUUGCGCAGGAGAAGCUAGAUGGCCAAGUCAAAAAGCAAGCUCCAGUGUACUUCGUCUCCGAAGUUUUAAGUCUGUCAAAGAAAAAUUAUACAGAAUUGGAGAAGGUGCUAUAUGUUGUGUUAAUGGCCUCCAGAAAGCUUCGGCGUUAUUUUCAAGCAUAUCACAUAAUUGUUCCUUCGUCACAGCCUCUGAAGGACAUUAUGAGGAACAGAGAAGCUAUUGGAAGGAUUGGGAAAUGGGCUGCAGAACUUAAUGAAUUCACCAUUGACUAUGUGCAUAGAUCCUCAAUCCAGUCCCAGGCGUUAGCAGACUUCAUUGCUGAUUGGACGCCAGGGGCUCAGGAAGAAGAAAUAAACAAAGACGCUAAAGCUUGGAUGGUGUUCUGUGAUGGAUCCUGGGGAACCUUCGGUGCAGGAGCGACUGCUGUUCUAGUGGCACCUUCGAAAGUCAGAACAUGUUAUGCAGCCAAGCUUGACUUUAGUUGCACAAAUAAUAUUGCUGAGUAUGAAGCACUUCUGUUGGGGCUUCGGAAGUUAAGAGCAAUAGGAAUAAGAAAAGCCAUCCUCAAAACUGAUUCUCAAGUCAUUUCUGGCCAUGUAGACAAAAGUAGAAAGGCAAGAGAUCUGAAGCUUGAAAAAUAUCUGGAUACAGUUCAAAGGUUGGAAGCUUCUUUCGAAGGCUUUUCUGUCAAGAAUAUUCCAAGAGGUGAAAAUGAGCAUGCAGAUCUACUAGCCAAAUCAGCGGCUUAGGGGCUUCCUCUACCUUCGGAAGUAUUUUUUGAAACAAUAAAGGCAUCUUUGGUUGAACUCAUGGAGAGAGCAGUGCUUGCCAUUUCUCUAGUACAUAGUGAAGAUUGAAGGACUGAAAUUAUAUCUUUCCUCCAAGGUAAUUGCCUUUCAGAUGAUGAAGCUUAUAAUAAGAGGAUGGAGGCAAGGACAAGACCGUAUGUGAUAAUAGAAGGGGAAUUAUAUAAACAUGGAGUCUGUUCUCCACUUCUCAAGUGUUGAAUUAAUGAAGGAGAUACAUGCAGGUCUGUGUGGAUCUCAUAUUGGGUCUAGGCCAUUGCUGGGAAAAGUGUUUAGACAAGGAUUCUACUGGCCGAAGGCAGCUUCAGAAGCAGCAGAGUUAGUUCAAAAAUGUGAAAAUUGUCAAAAAUGUGCAAGAGACCAGAAACAACCUUCAUCUCUCACUCAGUUAAUACAGCCCACCUGGUCGUUGCAAAGAUGGGGCCUGGAUUUGCUAGGCCCACUUCCACCAGCGCAAGGCAAUUUGAGAUAUGUUGUGGUGGCUGUAGAAUAUUUUUCUAAGUGGAUUGAAGCGAAGCCUUUAGCAACAAUAACUUCGGUUACAGUCCAGAAAUUCUUCUGGUAGAAUAUUGUUUGUCGCUUCGGCGUGCCGAAGGCUAUAACUAUGGACAAUGGAACACAGUUGAUGCCGAAACUUUCAAGGAUUUCUGUGAUCAGAUUGGCACGAAGAUUCAUUUUGCAUCAGUUAGGCACCUGGAGUCAAACGGGCUAGUCGAAAGAGCAAAUGGCAUUAUAAUGACGGGAAUAAUGAAGCUAAUCUUCAAUCAGCCUAGAGGAAAGUGGCCAGAUGAAUUGAUUAAAAUGGUGUGGAGCCACAAUACAACCAUAUCAAGAUCAACAGGUUUUACACCGUUCAAAUUAUUAUUUGGCGACGAAGCUAUAACCCCAGAAGAAGCUAAAGCGGGGUCAAUAAGAACAGCAGCUUUGGCAGAAGAUGAAGCUGAUUAUCACGUGGCAAAAGAUACUAUAGAAGGGACCAGACUUCAGGUUGUCGAGAAUAUCAAUAAAUAUCAAGCCGAAACAAUAAAAUGGCGUGAUAGAAAAGUUCAGUUGAAAAAUAUUAAGCCAGGUCAUUUGGUGCUUCGGAGAGUGGCUAAUCCGGACAUAGUAGGCGAACUACAGCUGAAGUGGGAAGGACCUUUUCUGGUGGUAUCUUUGUCAAGGCCCGGUUCUUACAGAUUGAAGGAUAUGGACGACAAUGACAUUCCUAGAUCUUGGAAUGCGGAUGAGCUUCGAUGAUAUUAUGUGUAAUUUGAUGUAAUCUUUUUCAUUUUUUUCCAAUGGCACCCUUUUCCUUUCCAAAGGGGGAGAAAGGUUUUUAAUGGGGCCAUAGCUUGUAAUUUUUCUUUUCUUAUUCAGCUCUACAAGAGCAAAAUCCCCCAAAAAAUGUAAAAUGUAAAAUCUGAGCAUGCACCAUCGAGUGCAGAAAAAGAAAAAAACCAGGGAGAAGCUCAAAAGUCGUCCCUAAGGGGAUGCAGAGCAUGACGAAGCUACAAAAAGUCGUUCCUAAGGGAGCACAGCGUAAGUUUUCUGCUCAAAAAUCGUUCCUAAGGGAAUGUAGAGCCAAAUACUGCCGAAAUAUAAGGCGAAGAAGUUCAAAAGACGUUCCUAAGGGGAUGCAGAACUUAUACCGCCGAAAUAGAAGACGAAGAAGUUCAAAAGACGUUCCUAAGGGGAUGCAGAACUUACACCGAAAAGUCAAUGGUGAACACCAAAAAAUAAAUAGUGAAGAAGACUACAAAGUCGUCCCUAAGGGGAUGUAGAGUCUGGGUGUGGCUUCGUAAGCGUGUGUUUGGACAUUCAUUUGCACAUUACAUCACAUCAUUCAUUGCAUUCAUACACAUUCAUUUAGACAUUCGUAGGAUCAUCAUCAUCAUAUCAUAGUGUACAGACAGUUGCUUCGGCUCUAAUGACAAGGCUUCGAUGAGUACAAAAGAAGCAAAUUUACGCUUCGUUGUGUACGAAAAGAAGGGAAGGUGUUUUUUGCCUUUGGCUCAAAAAAAUACAAGUUUCGUCCACAUCAAAGCAGUUCAUACAUGGAUGGAAAGGUAAAAAUAUAUUACAAGGUAUGGGCAAAUUUACAGAGUAACGUUUGAUUCCUAAAUUACAGUAUCUUUUACAAGGUUAAUUCAAAAAUUUCUGUAGAGCUUUUUCGCAGCAGUGUCUUCAGCUUCAUCACUUCAUCACUAUCCGCCAAGCUUCGGAUCAUUGCUCUUCGGCUUCGGCAUCCUGUACAUAACAAAGGGGUAUAAGGUAAACACAAAUCUCAAGGAAAAGGUAAGCAAUAGGUACAAGUGUAUUACCGGCUUGAGAUGACUUCAAGCUUCGUCACCAGCUAAGUCUCGCCCACCCUUCGUUCAGAUUUGAGUUAUGAAUCUAUUUCCAAUGCUUCGGGCUAGACUAGGGAUGUCAGUUAAAUCCGCUGGUGACAGGCUGAAGUUUGGCCUGUUCACGAUCUUCCCAUGCGUGCAACCAGUCUUCAUGAAAGCAACAGCUACGCCCCGAGAAGCUAGCAGGGCACAGAAGUCACCGUGCCUAGCUAUAACUUCGUCAAGUGCAUCAACUUCGCCCUCAAUAUGUUCGAAGGUGCUUGGCAGGUCUUCAACCGAAGGUUCAAUUUUUUCAGAUGUGGCUCCAACUGAGUUGAAGACCUGCUUCAGCCGUUGCACACACCGGUUGCCAAAGCUUAGGCAUCUGUCUUGAAGCUCUUUCAAGGAUUUUUGCAAAUUUGAACUCUUUUCGACUUCGGUUUUAAGCUUUGUAUCGAGAUUCUUCUUUUCUUGCUCGAAGUUUCUGAUUUCAGGAGGAGUUCACUAUUUAAUCUAGCAAUCUCGGCUUGCGCCCCUGCCAGUGAACCCUCCAUCGUUUGAAGAACAAAAUCUUUCAUUUCAAGAGCAGCUUCAUGAUCUUUAAUUUUGCUUUCCAAGCCUUCAAUUAUAACCUCAUUUUUCUUAUCUUCGAGGUCAUGUUGCAUCCUCAAGGAUUUACUUAGUAGCAUACUCUGUGCAAAAUAACCUUCAUCAACAAUCACCUUCAUCGUAAAACAAUGAAAAGCUGAAGGAAAAAAAUUUUACCUUGAAAUUAGAAUAGAAUAAACUACAGACGAUAUGCUGUCGUCAGUAGCAACUGAUGCCAGCUUCAAGCUUCGGGAAACCAACACUCUUUGAUAGGGUACUGAUAACCUUCGCUCCAGUUCGAUCUCGGAUGCAUCCUAGGCUUUCUUCGUUAAUGCCGCCGAAGAGUAACGCUCCUGGCUGGUAGCCACAAGAUAUAGCAUAAUCCCGCAGCUCCUCUUUCUCAGCCUUAGAUAACUCUUGACCAAUUAUGUUUUGAAAAUUGAAGUAUUUUUCCUCCGAAAUAUCUUCGACAAUCUCCUACCCUUUUCCAGGCACUGUGGCCAGGGUUUCUUCAGCAGCUGCAGCAGCUUCUUCUGCGGCCAUAUCCAAGAGUAUUCUACCAAUAUCAGAUAAUGUGUUCUCCAGAUUCGUAGCUUCGACCGUUGUAGCUUCGGCAGUUGUAGCUUCGGUGGGAGCAGCUUCGAUGGCUGUAGCAACUUCGGUAGCUGGUGUUAUUUUUGACGCUGAGGCCAGCGGUGGCGUUUCUUCAAUUGCCUGCAUAACAGUAACAAUCCUUUGCUUUUUUCGCCCAAACGCCUUCUUCGCUGCCAAAGGCUCGUCCUUCUUCUGUAAAAGCUUUGUCAGUUCUGGCCCCAGGGGACUUAGCAGCUUGAUAGGUAAGGAUUCAGUCAUUACCUUUAAAAUUUCUUCCACUUCAGUAGCAGAAGGCGUCGAAGGAGCUCCCUCUUCUAUCUCAGCCAUCUUCGGCUUUAGAGUUGUUGUUUUCCUCUUCUUCGAGGUUGUCACCUUCGGCUCAGGACUAGACUUUUUCAUUUUCAGAAUUUUUUCAUCUUCUUUUAUCAUCCUAGUAGUCUGUCUGUUCAUAACACUGACAACCCUUUUUCGCUUUGACCCUUCGGCACCCUUGCUUAAUCGUUCAUAGUCUGGGUAUUCAAAGUUCAGCGCAUCCAUUACUCGAUUCAGCCUUCGCUUCGGUCGGGUGCCGAAGGCCGUAGACAUCAGUUGAUCUUCUUUUUUAGUAUAGUUGCCCAAAAUCUCAUUGCACAUAGCCUCAAUCAUUUCUAGCCACUCUUGGCAAGGCUCUUUGAAUUGUUUCUUGAACUUGAAGUGAUAGGGCAAUCGAACAAGUUCAUUCUUUUUCUUUUCUCCUUUCAGCUUUGGCAUAUUGCAUUCACUCAACGUCGAAAAUACUCCAUAGGCUAAGAAUUCUUGCACCAGAUCUCUAGUGCUGACCUGCUCAGUCACAACUCUAAAUUCUACCACAGCCUGUUGGCAUGGUGACCCCGUUGACAUACAGCACAAGGGCCUAGUCAACCCGUAGCUCAAACUCAGCGGGCUCAGUACUAACGUCUUCAGCUUCUCCCUUUUAUUUUCAUCAUCUUUAACAUAGAACCACUCACUUUUCUAGCCAGUUGGCCACUUGGUGCGGUAGCUUAGCACCGGGGCCUUCAUAUCCUUGCGGUAAGUGAAGCUGUAACAGCUAAAAUUCUCAUGAAGCCCAUCUUCUCUAGCCUUCGUCUGAUAAUGUAGCUCAUGUACUCGGCAGAAGGCUUCAGCAUUUGGAUCCAUUCCCUGGCUUUGAAGAGCCCAAAUGAAGAUGUUGAGCCUAACGAUAGCGUUAGGAGUCAGCUGAUGAAGAUAAAUUUCAUAAUUAUUCAAAACUUCCCCAAUCAUCUCAUGAAGCGGAAACUGUAAUCCAGCUUUGAAAAAGCUUUUGAAAACUACCACUUCGUCAUAUUUUGGCUCUGGGAUGGUUUCUUCGCCGGCAAAACGAAGAAGCUUCUUCUAUGUCUCCCCGAAGUAGCCGAGCUUCAUCAUCAUCGGCACAUCGGUCUUAGAGACAGUAGAUUUUUCAAAAUCUAAGUGGCUGGGCUUUGAUGGGACUAGAGUGUCGUAGUCUUCCUCUUCAUUAGCAUUUUCUUCCUAAAUAUCAGCUUCUUCAGCCUCAGCAGUAUGUACAUCUUCGUCAACAGACCCCUCUGUGACAACCAAUCCAGAUUGCUUCAUAACUUCGGAAAUCGGGGCUGUUUCGGUGGCUUCGGCCUCCUCUCCGUCACGGGUCACUCUAGCAGUUGAACGUACUCCUGGCCAUCAGGUGUUAAAUUUCUUGUAGUUCUUACGAGUGUUGAUGAUUUUUACAGUUUUAACGAAGCUCCCUCUUAUGCCGAAGCUAAAUCAAAAUGAUGCUUUGCUUUAGAAUGUGAUGAGAAAGCUUCGGCUAUGGUUAAAUUUUUCAGCAGCACAACAGUGCAAUGGCAAUGAAUGUUGUGGUAACUUCACACCUACCCAUCUGUUUAUAUAGUGCGGCAGGUCUGAAGGUGAAUUGUCAAGUUGCCCGCACCCACUCAAUAGUCACCCGCACCCACUGAACGGUGGACCACGGCGCGUGGGAGAUGAAUCACCAGAUCGCGUGUACCCGCCGCAUGGUGGGGCCACCUCGCGCUCGGAAUAUUUUAAUCGUUUCUUGGCAACGAGCUCAGGGAAGGUGUUUUCGGACCUUCGGCAUUCCAAAGCCUAGGACAAUUUUUCACGGAUCAAGCUCGUUACGAAAAACGAUCUAGCACCGCGAAGGGGCUACUGUUGGGGGUCAGCUUCGUCGUCGAAGGUCCUGUAAGAAGAAAUACCUUCGGAAGAUCAACACAUAAGCAAUGCCGAAGCUACCAUCCAAGGAGCUUCGGCAUAGUGACACGCCUUGGGACGAAGGGUUGCACCGACUUAAAGAUGAAAAGACCGAUCGGCCCAUGAUAAUCUGUGUCAUGAUUGUAACCAGUUAUAAAGGAGAUGAAUGUAAAUCCACACAGGUUGCGCCCUGUGCCUAUAAAUAGAUGAACAGUACCCCGUACUGUUCACGCUGACUUGUAUUCGCUUGUGCGUCACGCUUGGACUUUUUGCCUUCUCUCAAGCCGAAGGUAUAAAUGUAAUUCAGUAUUGUUCUUAUUUAUCCAUGAUCAUAUAAUAAAGAUACAUUAACAAUGUCAUAUGAUUAUCCAUGUUAUUUCUCAUGUUUCAUAUGCUUCGUCUUUCAUUAAUUUAUGCUAUGAUGAUGAAGGUACAUCCUUCACAACCUUCGUUCGAAGAUCAUUAUAUCCUAAGGGAAAUAAUGCUUCGAAGGACGAAGGGCAUUAACUAUUAACCUCCUUUUGUGUUGUCUUGUUCUUAAUUCAUAGCAUUUGAGAACAAGUCCCCAACAGAAGGCCACAAGUAUUACCAAUGCAAGGCGAUGACCGGGGAUAAGCAAAAACAUAAGCUGAAGCAAAAGCCAACAAGCAAAAUCUCCAACAUCUACAUCAACAAGGUGGACAAAAAGGCUACUACACCAUAUUUGAUCAAGAAGAAAAAGAAUAGAAAGGUGAUAGCAGUCAUGGCCAACAAGCAAGCCAACAAAGAAAAGGGAGCCAAAUGCAUCUGGGUGCCAAAGGAAACUAUUUCAACCAUGAAAAUCACCAAGAAGGUUUGGAUCCCAAGAGGGAAGUGAGUAGUCCAAAGGACAUCGAGGAAUUUGGAGACUUGGCAAAAUUGGGAUGUAUAUUAUGGGAUGCAUCAUAUUGGAGCAAGCCUAUUGCCAAGUGGGUUAAUGAAUACUUUGGACUCAAAUUCCCCACCCAUGACUAAGGUAACUAGAUUUAUUGUAUUUCCUUUUAGAUAUGUGUAUCUAUUUUCUUCUAUCUAGUUUUUACCUUUCAUGCCUAGUCUUUACAUGUGGUAUUUACUUUUGAAGCAUACUAGGUCAAUCAUAUGGUAGGAAUGCUUGUUUUCAAUUCAUAUUCUUAAGCAAACCUACAUGGUUUAAAAUGUUUAGUUAAGCACGACACAUAGCUUAUUCAACAUUCCUAAGCAAAUGAUACCCCAAUUAGUAUUUUCAUGUGACAUAUCUGUUGGGGGUCUUAUUCUCCGCCAAAGGUCCUCAAGACAAAGGUAUCACUGGCAAAGUGAUGUUGAGGAUCCUCUCUACCGAAGGUCCUCAAGACGAAGAUACUAUGUGGGGACUAUAAUGACGAAUAUCGAAGCUUCUAUCGAAGGACGACAACUUCGGCUUAAAGGUGAUGACGAAGGUCAAGCAUGGCGCUGAACCAAAGAGGAAAAGACCAGUUAAUCCCUGAUGGUUUAUGUUACAGUUAUGCAUACAAAUUAAGGUCAUAAAUGUAUUUUCGCCCAGGCUGCGUCCCAUGCCUAUAAAUAGGUGAACAGUACCUCCGUACUGUUCACGCUGGAUUAUAAUUGCUCUCACGUCAACACCUUCGAACAAGCCGAAGCUAUCAAUGUAAUAUAAAUUCUGCUAAUGUUCGUGUUUAUGUCGUGAACUACGUAUAUGAAUGAAUACAUGAAUUACAUAUAUUAUCUUUAUGUAUUUUUGUCCUUAUAGAUCAUGAAGGUAUGCCCUUCAUGACCUUCGUCUGAAGAUCGUUAUAUCCGAAAGGAGAUGUUGGGGGCCUUCGUCUUCCGAAGGUCCUCAAAAACAUGAUUGAACAAUGUCUUCCAAGUGUGACAUAUGAACAGGUACCUUCGGACUCGGGUUAAAAGCAUAUACAAUGUGAAGAGCAUGGUCGUGACGAAGGUUGGUGUUGCUCCAAAGCUACGAAUAAGAGAGCUUUGGCUUAAUGGCAGAAAAAGGAACCGACUUAAAGGGGGAAAAGGCUAUCUAGUCCCCAUUGGGUUGUCUAUAAGUCAAUAGCAAAUAUGAAGGGCAUGAAUGUAAUUUCUCACAGGCUGCGUCCUGUGCCUAUAAAUAGAUGAACAGUACCCCCGUAUUGUUCACGCUGACUUGUACUCGUUUAUGUGUCACGCUUGUACUUUUAUCUUCUAUCAAGCCGAAGGUACAUUUGUAAUUCAAUAUUAUUUAUGUCUUUCCAUGAUAAUAUAAUGAGAAUGAAUUAAUAAUGUUAUAUGAUUGUUUAUGUUGUCUUCUAUAUUUCGUAUGCUUCUUCUUUUAUUAACAUAUAUCGUGAUGAUGAAGGUAUGUCCUUCAAAACCUUCGUCUAAAGAUCAUUAUAUCCUAAGGGAAAUAAUGCUUCGAAGGAUGAAGGGCAUUAACAUUUAAUAUUUUGUGUUGCCUUGUUCUUAAUUCAUAGCAUUUGAGAACAAGUCCCCAACAUUGGCGCCCACCUCCGGUGAACUCAUUCGACCACCUUCGGCAAGCACUGACCUUCGUCAUGCCGCCGAAGAAGAUAACUGCGCUAGGGGCUGCUGCACUGUAGCCACUGGACACAAACCAGGAGACUCUCUCUCUUCGAGAGGCUCGAAGCCAGAAGAGAAAGGCCACCAGUCCAACACUCCAGGAGGAGGAGUUGGACCAAGAGAUUAGGGACAUGGAAAUCAUCCAUCAACAAGUGCAAAGGAAGAAGGAGAAGAUGGCCCGGCUGGCCGAUCUUCAAAGGAAGAUCGACGAAGCUACUGAAGAAGUGUGUCAUCUUAUUCAAGAUGAACAAGAUCAAAGGCCCCAGCACAGGGAGCUUCGUCAAGAGGGCCUAUUCAACGAAGAUGGAUGGUAUGAUGAUUUCAGCCAUGAUACUUUCACUUUUGAUGAUGCUUCUCCCUUGGCAGCAGAACUGUAGGCUACCCCAUGGCCCCCAUCAUACAAGCCACCCCAGCUUCCCAUGUAUGAUGGGCACUCAGAUCCAAAGCAGUUUCUGAUGAGUUACUGUCACACCCGGUUUUAGAAGGCAAACCGAAUGCGAACCAUGUACGUGCCAGGAUCAGUUAUUCACGUACACAGCAGUUACAUAACAUGGACAUCAUCACACAGUGCUCAAAUAGUAUUAAAAAGGGAAAUAAUAGUCGAUUACAUCAUACGUCUGAGACGUCCAUAUAGUCCUUACAAUAAAUCAAAGUGCGGAAAAGAAACGUAGAUAAACGCGGCCUUCACAGGUAGCCGACUGGGGGUUGUCGCUAACCCAUGCCUAGAACUCGUCGUAGUCUUGGAACUCCUGAAGGUCUCCUUCCACAGCUUCAUCUUCUCCUGAGCAGUGGUUGCAAUGCUGACAACCUGGGGAUGGGGGGGUUUGGUGUGUAGAGCAAGGGUGAGUACACAUCAACAUACUCAGCAAGUAUCCUGUUUGGCUGUAGUGGACUAGCUUUAUGUGGGGAUAAGUCAAGCAGUUGCUUUUAGUUGGUCAGAUUAUUAUUUACUAAUAGAAAGCCAGGUUUUAGCAUUAACCCAAGUUAUUAGCCCGAUGUACCCUUUCCAAAUGGAAAGAAUACCACUUACCAGCACCAUAGUCAUAACCAGAACCAUCGAUCUCAUAGCCACCUGUACCAUAAUGUCUCUGAUCAAGUACCACUAAUCACUGGAGCUCCCUUGGCCGCUCAUAACCGUGAGCACGGCUGAUAUAUCAGUUUUCAAACACUCUGCAGAGGUUGUGCACUUUACCCACAAGCCGUGAUUCCCAUUCUGCCCGGAGAGAGCUAAUCCCCAUUAACCACUACCUAGGUGGCCUAGCAGGGCAUCACUACGUAGCCUUUACAAAGAUUCCCCGGGGCUGUAGCCACCCGUUAGGUUUCCUAAAUGCACCGCACUCCUCCCCAAGGGGCGAACCCAAACUUGGCAGAGCGAGCCGCAUACACCGAGACCCAUUGACGGCACGACGGCUAAGUGAACUACACCCCGGAUCCUCUAAUUAUUCAGCUAAGGGCAUCCCAUUCCACCCUCAUGGUUGCACUGUUUUCCCGGGCGGUCAUCCAUAGAACAGGUCCUUACGGAGAGGCACUCGAGAAAUCGCUCGAGCCCCCUUGAAGACCACAAGUAUAACAUCAUCAUAAGAGAGGGGAAAACAGCGUAUCAUAGAUAAUCUCAUCAUGUUCAUUGAUUAGAGUUAAGCAAUAGCAUAAAGCUAAGCAAUAAUAAUCCAACCCAAAUAGGUAAACAAGGACAUGUAUAACAAAGCUAGUCAAUCCUUAGGCAUAAAUGUGUAAAGCGGGAGGUGAAUUAAAGAAUGAAUAGGAUAGAGAUAGGUCAAGGGACACUUGCCUCCACCAACCGACUGCUGCUCAGGGGCUUCUCCUGCGAGUUCCUCGGGCUCUUCAACCGGAUCGUUCUCUAUGCGAUUGCAAGCAUACAUACAUCCAUCCAUUCAAAUUAGGGAACAAACAGUACACCAUACAAGAGAACAAAUGAAGUAAAUAUGCAUAGAAUAUCACAUACUAUAAUGAACUUACCAUGGUUAGAAAGAAAUGAGAAAAGGUCUCGCGAGAGUUAAAGCUUAUGCCCGAGACGCACUACGGGUAAACAAAUGACUAAACGUCACGUGCUCUAGUUCCAAUUGGUUCUAACAAAAGAAUUAGCUACAUGCACUAAUGUAAACGUGACCACUUUUAGUAGAUUAUCAUUGAAUGAGAUAGAUGAUUAGCUAUACAAAUUAACUAACGUAACCAAUUUCCAAAUUGAGACUCCUAUCUUAUUAAUAUAAACACGUGAUUAGCGCACAUAGGACACAGGGGGGUAGACGGGGCGUCUGGGGGUAGACGGGGCACGACGGGUCGUGCCAAGGCACGCACACUACGCGAGCACGUGCGCGAGGCCACACACACACGCCACGAACUAGCCGUGCGCACGUCGGGGCCGAGCGCUAGCCGAGCUCAAAGCCGCGCGCUAAAGGCACGCUGGGCCGAGCUCGAGGCCAAGCCGGGGCCGUCACGACGCGAGCAAGGCACGGCGGGGCGAGCGGGCAAGCGCGCCGGGGCAAGCGAGGACGCGGCCGGGCGAGGACACGGCCGGGCGAGGCCAGGCGCGGGGGCGGGCGGAGCUCGCCGGAGCGGGUCGAGCGCGAGCCCGGGGCGGCGCGCCGGCCGAGCGGGGCCGAGCGAGCGCGGGGAGGGCGGCCGGGCGCGGCUCGCCGGGGGCGGCCGGGCGCGGGUCGCCGGGGGCGGCCGGGCACGGGGCGGCGCGGGUCGCCGGGGCGGCCAUGGAGCCGGGCCGAGCGGGCGCGAGGAGGGCGGCCGGGGCCGGGCGGGCGCGGGACGAGGCCGGGCGCGGCGGGGCGCGGCCGCGGCGGGGUGGGGCGGGCUCACCGAAGCGAGGUCGGGCGAGGGCAGGGAAGGGGCGGGCUCGCCGGAGCGGCCGAGGGCGGGGCGGACGGGCCCGACGGGGGGCGGCCGAGCCGAGGCCGAGCGGCGCGGGGAGGGCGGGCGCGGCCGGGCGCGGGGCUCACCGGAGCGGCCGAGCCGAGCGGGCGGGGGCGGGGCCGAGCGGGGCGAGGCGGCCGAGGCCGGGGGCGGCCGUGCCGGGCUCGCCGGAGAGCGGUGCGGGGAGGGCGGGCGCGGCCGGGCGUGGGGCCGGCCGAGGUCGGUGGCGGGGGACGCCGGCGCGGGACGGGGGCGUCGGGGCGGCCGAGCCGAGCGACCGGGGUGGCCGAGCCGAGCGACCGGGGCGGCCGAGCCGAGCGACCGGGGCGGCCGAGCCGAGCGACCGGGCGGGCGAGGUCGGGGCCGGGGCCGAGCUCGCCGGGGCCGGGGCCGGGCGCGACGGGGCGCGGGGAGGGCGCCGGAGGGAGGGGAGGGAGGAGGGAGGGGGAGGGAGGAGGGAGGGCCUCACCGGAGGGGAGGACGGCGGCGGCGGCGCCGGGGAGGGGCGGCGGCGGCUAGGGUUAGGGUUAGGGUGAGGGAGAGAGAGAGGGGGAUGACGGGCGGGGCCCGCGGGGAGGAUUUUUGGAAAAAAGAAAAGGGGAGGGGGGCGGCUGGGCCGGCUGGGCCCAAAAAGGGGGAGGGGGCGCGCGGCUGGGGCGCCAGGCCGGCCCACGGUGGGGGAGGGCGGCUGGGCCGCCGCGGGGCCCACGCGGGAAAGGGGGGGGCUGGGCCAAAAGGGGAGAAGGGGGGAGAGAGAAAAAGAAAAGGCUUUUUUUUCUAAUUUCCUUAAUUUCUUAUAUGCCUAAUUCUCCACUUCACUCAACCACAAACAAAAGAGUGCAUAAUCCGGCAUGAUGCAACAAAUAAAAAUAGUUCUAGGUUUUGCUUACACAAGAUGUCGAGCUAAUUCUCGCUAUAACUUUUGAAAAAUAACAAGGCUUAGCGAGAAGAAAAGGGAAAAAGGAAAGAGUAACGCCUGAAUUUGGUGAGAGAAAAGAAGAAAAAAUUCUACCCCCAAAUUCAGGGCGUUACAGUUACGAAGCAACUAUAUCUUCGUACGGGGGCAAUAUCGUAGUCAUGGCGAAGUCCUUCGUCAUGGCAGUCCGGAAUGUAGCCCAGACAUGGUAUUGUUCUCUUCGGCCAGGGACUAUCAUGUCGUGGCAGAAGCUCAAGGACAUGCUGGUUACCAGUUUCCAAGGCUUUCAAACGAAGCCAGUCAUAGCUCAGGCCCUGUUCCAAUGCACGCAAGACCACGAAGAAUACCUUCAGGCAUAUGUCCGAAGGUUCUUGCGACUGAGGGCACAAGCGCCUACAGUGCCAAUGAAAUUGUCAUUGAGGCCAUGAUCAAGGGUUUUCGACCAGGACCUACUGCUUAAUAUUUCGCUAGAAAGCCCCCACAGACUCUGGAGAAGUUGCUUCAGAAGAUGGAUGAGUAGAUCCGGGCUGACAACGACUUCCACCAAAGAAGGGAGGAAGCUUACAGAUUCUCUGAGAUGACCAGGGGCUUCAGAGGACAAAUUCACCCGAGGUAUGUCAGGUCGAUCCACAGCUCCAGUUAGAGCGAUGACAAGGGAAGCCAGCCUCAGAGGUCACGGUACACCUCACAAUCUUCGAGGCAACAGCAAAGCUCUUUCAGGCCGCCAGCUCCAAGGGAUAGAGGCGCCAUGGGCUUCGGAGGAAGAUAUGGGGAUCAGCCCAGGAAGAUUUAUUACUUAUUCCGUGGUGAGGACAAGGGCCAUACCACAAGAAUGUGCCAAAUCACCAUUCAGAAGCAGAAGGAGAUCGCGGAAGCCGAAGCUUGGCAGAAUCAGCCGAAGCAGGUCUUGCACACUGCUUCGUGCCACUCUCCCUACAUACCAGAAUAUGUGGGUAAUCAUCCUGCAACUUCUACUGCUUUGGCUAGCCAUUCACAGGCUUCCUGUCCAUAGCUCCCACCCCCACCACCACUGCAACCAACCUAUUCCCGAAGUCAGCAGCCAGAAGGGCGCCAGCACACCGAACAGCAACGGGAGUUCAUGGAGGAAUCCGAAGCUCGCACGGUCAACAGUACUGUGCCAGAAUCAAAGCACAUUUAUUGAGCGAUAUCCUACCCCCGAAAUACUUUUAUGUUCUAUGUCAUUUUGUUUUUCAAUAAGGAACAAUCAAUGUAAAUCUAGUUUUAAUUCCUUGUAAUACUUUCGCUUCUGUCAGAAUGAAAUAUAUAUUCUUCACAGACUUACGAAGCCCAAAAACUACCGAAGCUCAAAAGUCGUUCCUAAGGGAAUGCAGAGCUAAAAAUCGUCGAAACUACAAAAAGUCGUUCCUAAAGGAGCGCAGUGUAAGUUUUGUCGAAACUGCAAAAAGUCAUUCCUAGGGGAGCGCAGUGUAAGUUUUCUGCUCAAAAGUCGUUCCAAAGGGAAUGCAGAGCCAAAUACCACCGAAAUAUAAGGCGAAGAAAUUUAAAAGACGUUCCUAAGGGGAUGCAGAACUUAUACCGCUGAAAUAGAAGGCGAAGAAGUUCAAAAGACGUUCCUAAGGGGAUGCAGAACUUACACCGAAAAAUAAGCGGUGAAGCCGAAAAAUAAACGGCAAAGAGAUUCUGAUCGUUCCUAAGGGGACGCAGAGAUUGUGUGUUUCAACAUGGGCGUGCGGGUGUGUGUCUUCAGCAUUAGCAUCAUAUCAUCACAUCAUCUCGCAUAGCAUCACAUCAUACAUCAUAUCUGUCACACCCGGUUUUAGAAGGCAAACCGAAUGCGAACCAUGUACGUGCCAGGAUCAGUUAUUCACGUACACAGCAGUUACAUAACAUGGACAUCAUCACACAGUGCUCAGAAUAGUAUUAAGAAGGGAAAUAGUCGAUUACAUCAUACGUCUGAGACGUCCAUAUAGUCCUUACAAUAAAUCAAAGUGCGGAAAAGAAACGUAGAUAACCGCGGCCUUCACAGGCAGCCGACUGGGGGUUGCCGCUAACCCACACCCAGAACUCGUCGUAGUCUUGGAACUCCUGGAAGUCUCCUUCCACAGCUUCAUCUUCGCCUGAGCAGUGGUUGCAAUGCUGACAACCUGGGGAUGGGGGGGUUUGGUGUGUAGAGCAAGGGUGAGUACACAUCAACAUACUCAGCAAGUAUCCUGUUUGGCUGUAGUGGACUAGCUGUAUGUGGGGAUAAGUCAAGCAGUUGCUUUUAGUUGGUCAGAUUAUUACUUACUAGUAGAAAGCCAAGUUUUAGCAUUAACCCAAGUUAUUAACCCGAUGUACCCUUUCCAAACGGAAAGAAUACCACUUACCAGCACCAUAGUCAUAACCAAAACCAUCAAUCUCAUAACCACCUGUACCAAAGUAUCUCUGAUCAAGUACCACUAAUCACUGGAGCUCCCUUGGCCGCUCAUAACCGCGAGCACGGCUGAUAUAUCAGUUUUCAAACACUCUGCAGAGGUUGUGCACUUUACCCACAAGCCGUGAUUCCCAUUCUGCCCGGAGAUCAUGACUCUCCAUUGAUCACUACCAAGGUGACCCAGCAGGGCAUCACUACGUAGCCUUUACAAAGAUUCCCCGGGGCUGUAGCCACCCGUUAGGUUUCCUAAAUGCACCGCACUCCUCCCCAAGGGGCGAACCCAAACUUGGCAGAGCGAGCCGCAUACACCGAGCCCCAUUGACGGCACGACGGCUAAGUGAUCUACACCCCGGAUCCUCUAAUUAUUCGGCUAAGGGCAUCCCAUUCCACCCUCAUGGUUGCACUGUUUUCCCGGGCGGUCAUCCAUAGAACAGGUCCUUACGGAGAGGCACUCGAGAAACCGCUUGAGCCCCCUUGAAGACCACAAGUACAACAUCAUAAUAAGAGAAGGGAAAACAGCGUAUCGUAGAUAAUCUCAUCAUGUUCAUUGAUUAGAGUUAAGCAAUAGCAUAAAGCUAAACAAUAAUAAUCCAACCCAAAUAGGUAAGCAAGGAUAGGGAUAACAAAAGCUAGUCAAUCCUUAGGCAUAAAUGUGUAAAGCGGGAGGUGAAUUAAAUAAUGAAUAGGACAUAGAUAGGUCAAGGGACACUUGCCUCCACCAACCGACUGUUGCUCAGGGGCUUCUCCUGCGAGUUCCUCGGGCUCUUCAACCGGAUCGUUCUCUAUGCGAGCGCAAACAUACAUACAUCCACAUAUUUAAUACAAAAGAACAGUACACCAUACAAUAGAAUGCAAUAAGUAAACAGACGUUCCACGCGGGCUCGCGAGUACGGUUAAGAGAGAAAGAGGAAAAGACAGUCGAGAAACGAUCACGUUACAUGAUUAUAAAUUAACCACUCGCUUAAUGGAAGGAAAUUUAAUGUAGACACUAUGUUUAGCGUAAAGUAAAGUCAUGUUUCAUGUCUAAUUAUUAUAAGCAGGUGGAGGUAAAUAAAAGGAUGGUCGCGCGGCGAGACGCGCGACAAAGCUCUCUAAAACAAAUUAAGAAGUUAACGACUCGUCGCGCGACCAAGCACGCAACGAGACACUUCGCCUUAGUUAAGAGGAGACGUUAAGCGUCGCGCGACGAAGCGCACGACGGCAUACGUCGACUAAACUGAGUCCAAAGUGGAACGUCGCGUGAAUACACACGCGGCGUUACACCUUAAACAACCUGAAACAAAAAUGGAUCGUCACGCGACGAAGCGCACGACGCAACACAAGAUAGAAUCUAAAAUUAGACAAAUCCGUCGCGCGGCGAAGCGCGCGACGCAACACGCUAAUUAACAAAUAAUCACCGCGAGCGCUGGCGAGCGGGGGCACGGUCGGGCGAGGCCGGGGCGGGGGAACGGGCGGCCGAGCCGGGGCCGGGGCGGUUGAACCGGCCAGGGGCGGCCGAGUCGGCCGGGGCCGAGCCGGGGACACGCCGGGGGCCGGAGGCCGCGCCGGGGUCGCGCCGGCGAGCAGGGGUCACCGGGGCCGCGCCGGGCCACGCCGGGGGCGCGCCGGGGCCGCGCUGCGCGCGAGCAGGGGAGGAGCGGGGGCGGGCGGGCACCGCCACGGGGCCGGGACGGGCGGGCGCCGCCGCGGGGCCGGGACGGGCGGGGAGCGCCGCGCGGGGCCGGGGAAGGGGCCGAGCGGGGAGGCCGAGCGGGGGCCGAGCGGGGGGGCCGAGCGGGGGCCGAGCGCCGCCGGGGAGGGAGGCCGGGCGGGGGGGCGAGCGCCGCCGGGGAGGGAGGCCGGGCGGGGGGCCGAGCGCCGCCGGGGAGGGAGGGGGAGGGGCCGCGCGAGGGGAGGCCGGGGACGGGCGCCGAGCGCCGCCACGGGAGGGGGCGGGCGGGCGAGCGCCGCCGGGGAGGGCAGCCGGGCGGGGCCGAGCGCCGCCGGGGCCGGGGCGGGCAGGGGCGCGCGCGGGCAGGGGAAAAGGGGAGGGAGAGAGAGAGAGGAGAAGGGGAGGGGAGGGGAGCUCACCUCGGGGUCCAAAAUCCGGUGAUCGCCGUCUCCAAAUCCUAGGGCACCACGGGGAGAGAGAGGUGGAAGAGGGAGAGGAGAGGUUGUUGCGCGGGAGAUCCAAAUGAGAGAGAGAGGGGAGGGGGGCGCAUGGGGGGGGAGGUUUGGGCGCCAGGGGCGCGCAGGCCGGGGCGGGCCGGGCCGGCUGGGCUGGGCUGGACUAGGUUGGGCCGGGCCACUUCGCGGAUUGAAAACCCACGACGAGCGCGGACCACUAAACGGAAUUAAAUCGCAAAUCGAAAUCCGGAACGGAACGAGACGAACACUCAACAUCAGACAAAGAAAUGCUUCGGCAUGAUGCAACACCCAUGACACUUAGGUUUUGGUUUAUACAUGACACGGACACCUGCCGCUAUACUGGUUUGAAAUUGGGGAGAAGGAGCAAACGGGGAAAGAGAAAAGAGAGUAACGCCCGAAUUUGGUGAGAGAAAAGAAGAAAAAAUUCUAACCCCAAAUUCAGGGCGUUACAAUAUCACACCAAGGACACGAAUUGAAUACGAAGUCGAUCUUCGGAGAAUGCUUUAUAAAAAUGAAAAUGUGCUAAGGCACAAAGUAAGUUGAGAAAUACAGUUUCAUCAGCUCUGUUGCAAAAGAAGGGGUCCCUUGUUUACGAAUCAUGGAUGUUUUUACGAAGCUUGGAUGUUUUUACGAAGCUUGGAUGUUCUUACGAAGCAUGGAUAUUUUCACGAAGCAUGGAUCUUUUUUCUUUACGAAGCAUGAAAAGAAGGGAAGGUGUUUUUUCGCCGAAGGCUCAAUAACGGUAUGUAUAUAAAAAUUUCAUGCAUUGCAAAGAAGUGAAUUACCAAAUAAUUUACAUAUUAGAUUCAAAGAUAUACACAUCGAAUAUUAUAGUCUUGUUACAGCAAAGCUACAUUGAUCAUCUAAAAAUGUUUUACAAUAAGUACUACUCCUCUUUCAAGAUCUUCUCCGCAACUUCAUUUAGCAACUUGUUAACGACUUCAUCAACAAUAGAUUCGGCCAUAUUGAUGAUCUCCAGUGCUUUCUUUGUUUCUGGGUCGGCCAGUGGAUCGAACGGUUCUGGUGGCGGAGAUAAUUCAACUACAGUGAAAAAUUAAUCAGUCUGAAGCUACAAAAACAAAUGCUGAAGCUAGAUGCCACGAAACAAUACCUAUGCGUCUCUCGCGCUCUGCAGCUUCUUCAACUUGUUUUGCUUGUACUCGGGCGUCAUGGAUGUCUUUCUCGCUUUUCUUCAAAAUUUUGUGAGCCAUCUCUCAGCCACCAUUUACCCAGAUGUCAUUAUAAAAUUUCCCACCUAUUAAACUUGCUUCAGCUGAGGGAUCCUUUGUAUCAUCCACGGAGAAGGCAGCUUCGGCCUGGGCCAGGGUCUUGACAUGGUCGCAUCUCGCCUUCUCCAGGAUGGCUGAAAUCCCCCUUGCACCAGAGAACGUGCAGACAUCCCCACGAUCACUUAAAAUUUCUUUGAAAGCUUCGGCCUCUCCACUUAUCCAUUCGAUAACACCUUCAGGGUCGCCUUGUAUGAAGUUAUCUUCGUUAGAAUAGGCACCCACAUUGGCAAAGCUAGCCUGUAUUUUCUCCAUGCAGCCCAAAGAUUUUUUAAAGCGUCUUUCCUUGGAUGCGCGAAGUUCUUCAACUGUUUUCUCUAAAUAAUUUUUCCAAUAUUCGCUGCUCUCUCGGUUAGCUUCUGCGAGAGCGCAUUUUUCUUUAGCUUCUGCCAACUGUUUCCAAAGGUCUUCGAUUUCAUUCUUUUGGAUUUCGGUCUGAGCCUUGAAACUAGCUUCAUCUUCUUUCACUUUGUUUACCAAUGAAAUCAAGAUUUUGUCUUUUCAAGACCUUCGUUCCUUAAUUCAAUUACCUCUGAACGAAGGUUGUUUAGAGCCAUCGUAUACCCUUCAUCUUCAAUGUUUUUCUGGGCCCUUAGCGCAUUGCUAAGAAUCAGGCCCUGCAAAUGGAGGAAAGAAUAAGUAUGACAAAUAAAAUACCCCAUUAUUAAGUUUAAAUAUAACUCGUAUACCUUUAUGCUAUUAUACGCUAAGCUGUCAGCAAGCUUAUCCUUCGAUAAGAUUGAUAGGCCAUCUUCCAACUUCGGGAAUCUGAUGCUUCUACCUAUCUCCCAGCAAACGGAUAUCUCUUUAUUAUCCGGGAGACAGUACAAAAAAUCUUCUUCCCCAGUGCCAUUAAACACUAACGCCCCCUUCAGAUAUUUCAACUUUUGGGCAUAAUGUAGUGCUUCUAGCUUUUCUUCUUGAGAAAGUCUUUUUCCCGAAGCAUGACGAAUGAUGUAAUCAAUGCUUUCCUUUGAAGCUUCGGGAGCAAGAGUUUCAACCUUUUUAAACGCAAUUUUCUCUGUCGCCUUUUCUUCAAUUACGACAGGCUCUUUCUCAGGGGGCACUAAAGGCCCAGCUUCAGUUUUAGCCUGAAUCGUUGCAGUUUCGACUUCUGCCUGUUUCGUUUCAGUUCUGGAUUGUGCCUUGGAAGCUUCGGCAAUUUUUCUUGUAGGAGCAGGACUCAAGAUUUUUGAUGUUUCUAAUACAACAUCUAGCACAUUCGCCAUCCUUCUCCUCUUAGGAGUUGCAGUGGAGCUUUUUUGUACCUUCGGCACUGUUGCCUCUAUCGAAGGGCUCAAAAUCUCUGGUAUUUUUGGUAUUUCUUCAAUUUUUGACCCUUCAGUUUUAUCAGAUGUCGUCUCAACUAGUUUAACAGAAGGUAACUUCAGGAUUAAAGCCGGCUUUUCAGUCUUCUUCGCAGGAGGAGCGAUCUCUUCUGUUUUGGCAGCUGAAGAGGCCCCUUCGUCAAAUUUAGGUAUCACAACCGGUUCGAUGUAACGUGGUCGAUGAGUCAGAACUUUCAACUUUUUUCCCUUCGGCACAGGCUCAUCUGGGGUGGCCGAAGUAGCAGCUUUCCUCUUUUUACCUUGUCCCCGCAGCGGGUAGCGGUAGUCGGGGUAAUCGAAGCCAAUCGCGUCAAAAACUCUAUUCAGUCUCUUCUUUCCCCAACCUCCAAAGGCUACGGAUAGUGCAUUAUCUUCUGCCUUGGAAUAUGCUCCAAGCAGUUCAUCACUUGUAGCUUCGAUGCACUUCAGCCAGUCAUCAUUUGGUUCAUCAAACUUAUCCCCAAAUCUGAAUGUAUACUUUAGCCGUACCAAAUCACCUUCGCUAGAGUUAGUGAUGGUCUCCUUCGGCAUUUCCCAGUUUUCCACAAGUGGCCAUACUCUGAAUGCUAUAUGUUCUUGAAUUAAAUCUCUUGUGCCAAUGAAGGAGCAGACGGUACUGAAGGCCUUAUGACACGCUUCGGCGGCGUCGUCAAUUUCGACUUUCGGCUUUCAGAGGCCGAAGCGGGACCAAAUGGGGCGCAUUAUGACUUCCUUAAUAUCUUCUCUCGCUGUCAAAUCAUUCUUCACAUAAAACAACUCUUCCAUCCAGGCCCCGGGCCAUCUUUUUCGAAAUGUCGGCACCGGGUGGCUUGCGUUGGGGCGGGCGAUAAACCCAUAAUAAUCGAAGUUGUUGUGGUACUGUUCUUUACCCAUGGCCUUCGUCUCAUAUAGUAGUUCGUGCAUAUUGCAGAAGCACUUCACGCUUGGUUCUAACCCCUGGCUCUUUACUGCCCAGACAAAAAUCCCCAUCCUUAUUAUGGCUUCGGGGGUGAUCUGAUGAAGGAAGAUUUGGUACGUCUUCAGCACUUCAACUACAAACUUACUCAAAGGGAACCGAAGCCCAGCCUUGAAGAAGCUUCGGAAAAUCACAACUUCGUUCUCCUCAGGGGCAGGGACGUUGUUGUCUCUGCUAACCCUCACAAUAGACAUAUCCCGAAAGUACCUUCCCAUCAUAUUUUCAAGAUGACUCUAUUUGAUGGUCGAUUUUUCGAAGAUUGAAUGACUUGGCCUCCAGGGCCGAUCCUCAGAAUCUUCGUCCCCACUUUCCACAUCAUAGCUAUCGCUAUCACCAGUAUCUUCGGACAGGCCCUCCAGUAUCUCUUUAGUAAUCUUCUCUGUAUUUGUUUUUGCCAUCGACUCGACAAAUCCAGCAAUGUAAGAAUCCACAGUCUUCUUCUCCUCAAAAAGCUUCUCCUCUUCAGCCAGCUUCGUCUCAGCAGCAAUCUUCUUGUCUUGAGACAUUUUUUCUUCAGAAAUGAUGAAAAUGUGUGUUUUAAACCGAAGCUCAAGGAGCUUGAAAAAUUAGCAAGCGCUAGUGAGCAAGAGCUAUAAAAUUGAGAAAAUAAAGCAAAUGGCACAAGCAGCGUAUCAAAUGCAGCUGGUGUGAGUUCUUAUUUAUACGCUCAGCGCGCUGCAAAGUGGAGGGCCCCAUCUGUCAUUGUUUAUUGCUAUUCUAGCAAAGGGAAGGUGUUUUUUGGACCUUCGGCUUAAAGCCUUCGUCCAUAUCGCAGUCUAAAUUCGUUAUCUUAACAAAUUAAUACUGCGAGGGGCUACUGUUGGGGGCCUUCGUCUUCCGAAGGUCCUCAAAAACAUGAUUGAACAAUGUCUUCCAAGUGUGACAUAUGAACAGGUACCUUCGGACUCAGGUUAAAAGCAUAUACAAUGUGAAGAGCAUGAUCGUGAUGAAGGUUGGUGUUGCUCCGAAGCUACGAAUAAGAGAGCUUCGACUUAAUGGCGGAAAAAGGAACCGACUUAAAGGGGAAAAGGCUAUCUAGUCCCCAUUGGGUUGUCUAUAAGUCAAUAGCAAAUAUGAAGGGCAUGAAUGUAAUUUCUCACAAGCUGCGUCCUACGCCUAUAAAUAGAUGAACAGUACCCCCGUACUGUUCACGCUGACUUGUACUCGUUUAUGCGUCACGCUUGUACUUUUAUCUUCUAUCAAGCUGAAGGUACAUUUGUAAUUCAAUAUUAUUUCUGUCUUUCCAUGAUAAUAUAAUGAGAAUGAAUUAAUAAUGUUAUAUGAUUGUUUAUGUUGUCUUCUAUAUUUUGUAUGCUUCUUCUUUUAUUAACAUAUACCAUGAUGAUGAAGGUAUGUCCUUCAAAACCUUCGUCUGAAGAUUAUUAUAUCCUAAGGGAAAUAAUGCUUCGAAGGACGAAGGGCAUUAUCAUUUAACAUUUUGUGUUGCCUUGUUCUUAAUUCAUAGCAUUUGAGAACAAGUCUCCAACAGGAGAUAACCUUUGGAAGACGAAGGUCUUUAAUCUUUAACAAUUAUGUUGCCUUGUUCCUGAUUAACGACAUUUGAGAACAAGUGAACAACAUUGGUGUCCACCUCCAGUGAACUCACUUCUACGACGACAACAAUGGCUUCACAAGGUGACCAAGUUGUGACACCUUCGGCUACGAAGCUGAUGCUUCCAAUCAUAGGCGGCUCAAGCUCUGAACCAGCCAAUAAGAAGCAGAAGAAGGAAGCACAAAGAAGGGUACAACAUGUUGGAGUGCAAGGACCCUUCAUCAAAUCCAAGUGGUCUCAUGUACCAAUCACAUUCUCCCAGGAAGACCUUCAGCUCAAGGACUACCCACAUAAUGAUGUAAUGGUCAUAUCUUGUGUUAUUACAGGGUUCCUGGUUCACAAUGUCCUUGUAGACAUAGGCACUGCGACAGAUAUCAUCUUCGCAAAAGCCUUCAGGCAGAUGCAGGAGCAAGAUGACAAGAUACAUGAUGCAACACACCCCUUAUGUGGUUUCAGAGGAAGGAAGAUAGUGGCACUUGGAAAGAUAACAAUGCCAUUCACCUUUGGUUAUGUUCACAACACAAGAGCAGAACAAGUUGUAUUUGACAUUGUCGAUAUGGACUAUCCUUACAAUGCAAUCAUUGAUCGAGGACGUUGAAUGCCUUCGAAGCAAUACUCCAUCCAGCAUAUUUGUGCAUGAAGAUACCUUCUGACCAAGGUCCUAUCGCUGUGCAUGGAAGUCAAGAGGCUGCCAGAAGGGCCAAAUGGAACUGGACAGAUUAAAAGGCCAUCCAUAACAUAGAUGAAGUCGAAGCUCAUCAACAGUAUAAACAUAAAAGAGAUAUGGCUUCUUCAGCAAAUCAACCAAAGCCUAUGCUUCUGUGCGAAGACAUAGCCGAGCAGAAGGUGUUGUUGGGGUCCCAAUUGUCCGAUGAAUAAGAGAAAACUCUGUUAAAGUUUCUGUUCAACAAUAAGGAUGUUUUUGCUUGGUCAGCUAACGAUCUUUGUGGUGUCAACAGAGAUGUCAUUGAACACUCACUCAAUGUAGAUCCUGCUAUUAGACCAAGGAAGCAGAAACUUCAGAAGAUGUCCGAAGACAAAGUCGAAGGUGCAAGAAAUGAAGUCAAAAGACUACCGAGUGCCAGAGUAAUCAGAGAGGUGACAUAUCCAGAGUGGCUAGCCAAUACUGUGAUGGUGAAAAAGGUCAAUGGAAAGUGGAGGAUAUGUAUUGAUUUUACGGAUCCCAACAAGGCAUGCCCAAAGGAUGAGUUCCCCUUGCCAAGAAUAGACUUCUUUGUGGACGCAGCAGCCACUUCGGAGCUCAUGAGUUUAUUGGACUGCUAUUCAGGCUAUCAUCAAAUCUGGAUGAAGAAGGAAGAUGAGCCUAAAACAAGCUUCAUAACCCCUAGUGGGACUUACUGGUACCUUCGGAUGCCCGAGGGGCUCAAGUGUCACACCCGGAUUUAAGGGACAAAGCCGCGUGCGUCUUAUAUGUGCGCCAAGAAAGAACAACACAUAUAAUAACAGAGUGCAUAAAGAUAGUGUCAACACCCGGAUUUAAGGGACAAAGCCGGGUGCGUCUUAUAUGUGCGGCAAGAAAGAACAACACAUAUAAUAACAGAGUGCAUAAAGAUAGUGUCAACACCCGGAUUUAAGGGAUAAAGCCGGGUGAUCUGGAAAAUACCCGGAAUUAGGAACAAGAAUUUUGUGGCUUUUGCUUUUUUGUGUCCAUUGUUGAGGACACCAGUAAACAAAGUGUAUGUGCUAUUAUUGAAUAAUUUUGUUGUUUACAUAAACAAUAGCAUGAACUCGUGACUCCGUUUGUGAUGCUUGAUAAGAUGGUGUCUACAAUAGUUUAAUUUGGUUUGUAUCAGAUUAAUAUUAUUGGUUGUUUGGGUGAUUGAUGGUAAUAUGUGUUGCGUCUUUUUAUGUAUAUGUUUUACUAAUAUUUUAUCGAAUAAAUUUGUGUGUCGUCCUGUUGGUUGUUAUACAUGAUGUAGGUGUUUUCAAUACAUGUAUGUUUAUAUGUAAAAUGUGUGCAACUAAUAUAUAUUAAAAUUGAAUAAUUUGUGUGCCGUCGAGGCAUUGUACUAGUAAAUUAUAAUAUCUGUCAUUUAAAGGCUGCCAAAAAAACGAACGAUUGUAUGGCGAUAAACCUUGUAUACGUGACACAUAUGGCAGGUAUUGAUCUAAAACAGGCGAUACACACAUUACGAUUGUAUAGCGAUAAACCUUAUAUACGUGACACAUAUGGCAGGUAUUGAUCUAAAACAGCCGAUACACAGAUUUUGUUACUCUAACAAUGUAAAAUGGAAACAGAUAAAUAAUCCUACGUGUUGAUACGGGCCGGGCGAGGCCUGCCUUUUCGACUGUGUGAAGGCACGGGAGUUAAAUAUCGUUGGUAACAAAUGGUGGGAUUUGAUUUUGUGGAGAAACGAGUGGAUGGACGGAAUUGGACAGCAGUCGAUGAAGAAGCAAGGAAGGAAGGGUCGCUGUCUAGUUUGUCGUGGCCGUAAUUCUUGUGGUGGUUUGCCUGCUACUACUGCUUUUUUUCCGUGAGCUGAGCUGAGCUGGUCCUCGUCGUGCCGUCAUCGUUCUCCAAUCUUCCAUGCCUACGCGUCGACAGGUCGGCGGACCGCGGCCGCUGCUUGUGGGCGCCGUCGCGCCAAACCGCGCCCACCACGUGCUGCCUACUCACAACUUUCACGGUGCCAAAAUGAUGGAUAUAUGUGUGCAGCACGGCUCGCCGGAGCCUGGCCAAACACAUACGUUCACACGUAUCCACAUAUAGGUAAAAGCCUCUGAAAAAAACGUAAACUACACCACGCAUACCACCUGAUGGCAUCAAUCAAACAUAUACAGACACUUAGUCAACAUAUACGAUCAGCCAGGCUACCCACAACCAAACACACGCAAACUGAUUAUUACCAAGAGAUUUGAACAGGCACCAUAAGGAAUUCGUUUGCUUUUACUUAAUUAUAUGCUUUAAUGAAUCCACACCUUUAUUUGCUAUAUAAUUAGUUUAUUACCAAAUUGUUGCAGUAGAAACAAGAUUACAUGUAUAAAAAAAAACAGACUCCCUUCGCUGUCUCGUCUUCCCUGGGCUCUCUCUCUCCCUGCAAAAGGGCCAAGGCAAGGAUUCUCGUUCUCCUCCAGGUUGGUUUGGAUUCCUGUUCUGUUCGCACCGCCUCCGCCUCCCUCCCUCCCUCUCCCCUUCCGGACUCUCUGCUCUCCUCUGCUGCUAGUCCAUCCAUUAAUCUCCUCUCCUCGCCAUCGCCGCACUCACGCUACGCUUCCCUCCUCAAGCCCGAGGUACAGUAUCUAUUCCCGCUCUCUCUUUUCUUCUUCUUUCUCAUAAUACCAAACCAAACCAUGCUCUGCUCUACUAGGGCUUCUCCGGGAAGGAAUCGCCGCGCCGGGUUCCUGCAACGCCCCGCCCUUUGCGCACCCGGAGGUAACUGACGCCAUCUCCGUUUCCUCGUCUCCUCCUGCUGCUACUAGCCUACUACUACUACUAGUCUACUCCGGCCGCCGUGGCAUUCGCUUGCCGCGCCGAAUCCACCUGCCUGCUCUUCGACUAGUUCGGUACUACUUACUUCCCCUUCGAUUCAUGCCGUUCUGCCUGCUCCCUCUUCCCUUCGCGCAUUCGCUCGCCGCUCGCCCAAGCUCGCAACUUUUCGCUUCCUCUCCAAUCUUCUUCCUUCUUCUGCCCUGCCUAUCUACUACUUCAGCUCGGCGGUUUUGGGCCGCCGGACGCUCGGAGGUAGGCCGCGAUUGCUGUUUUUUUGUCCUAUUAAAAAAAAAUCUUUUGACUACCUCCGUUCGUUCAUUCAUUCACAAUAUGACAAUAGGCACUCGAGUUUCCUUCGUUCCUUUUUUUUACACCACAAACACACACACCCACAAAAUGUGCAACAUUUUUUGUGCCAGCAAGCAAUGAUUCUGCAUCGCGUGGUUGCCCUGUGUUGCUCAUGAUCGCACGCAAGACUGUUCCACCUAUCAAUCAAUGGAACCCCCAGCCGAAUCGAAUCUACAACUUGAGUAAAGUAAUGGCCUUCCCCUGCCCUCAUCGAUUCUUCAGCCUUCACGUCUCCCUCUCUCCUAUAUUCAUUCUUCAUGCUACCGCCAAUAAUCCACAAUUUUGGGUGCACUACCGACCGACUCACUUCAGCUUCAAUCUUACAAUUUGUAGUCGAUGCAGACCUUGUGCUGCAGCCGAGUACUUAUUUGUCAGCAUCAACCUUUGUUUCCCUGCCAGUAAUGCCUGACAGUACUUAUUCGUGUUUAAGUGCCAAAUAACUAAGAUUUUAUGCUGCUGAGGUUGAUCAGCUUAGCACUUCACCUGUUACCACUAUUUACCGUCCUUCCAAGAUCUGUAACUAAACUGGGCCAGUGUCCACCUGCUACCACUAUGUAUAGCCCUUGUGGAUUUCUGCAGCUGCAGUUUGCUAUGAUGCUCGUUAGCAGACGAAGGCAGGAAAAAACGAAGUAGAUCAACCAACAAAUCAUAGAGCACGACACACAGAUUUACGUGGAAAACCCUUCAAUGCGAAUGGAAAAACCACGGGCACCAGACAGACGAAACCUUCACUAUAUGUGGAGUGUUUAUAGAAUGCCGUUCGUAGACGGCGGCUUACAAGAGGAGUAAAUAAUGACGACGCGCAACAGACCCUAAUUAGGGUCACUAAUAUAUUCGAACAUACGCUCUGGCCUAAGCCUCCCGGCGACGGGCCUCCAUAUGCAGAAUUUGGAUCACAAACUCAACAAUGCUAAGCAUAUAAACACACAGGCAGCUAAACAUCCAAGGUGUGCUAGGUUGCAGCAAAACAUAUAUGCUGUUCAUCUUACCCAAGUAACACCAUUUGUAUGAGUUUUAACCAUUAGGCAUUGGUUGUCAGACAGUGUUAACCAUUAUGCAGUUCUUUUGGUGUCUUAUGCAUUUGUAAAUAAAGUAAUAAACUAGACAUGCUAAUGCCAACCUAUUCCUGCAGCAACUGAGUCGUGGCUAUCGAGGAUGAUGCCGCGUUUCAGAUAACAGAGACUGUGAGAGUGCACGACACACUUGACAUGCAGAGAUGAAGAUCAGUGCGCUUCUCACCUCCGCGGGCAUCAACAUUGGCCUCUGUGUUCUCUUCCUGUCACUCUACUCCGUUCUCAGAAAGCAGCCGGCCAAUGUCAGGGUCUACUUCGGCCGCAGGAUCGCUGAGGAACACGAUCGGCUCCGAGGGGCAUUUAUCUUGGAGAGGUUUGUCCCAUCCACUGGAUGGAUAGUCAAAGCCCUGCAGUGUACUGAGGAAGAGAUCCUGGCUGCUGCUGGGUUGGAUGCUGUUGUUUUCAAUAGAAUUCUAGUAUUCAGGUACGGUGUGCAAAACUUACUCCCUUCUUCCAUUUUCGUUUCAUUUGUGUCAUGAAACUUUCAUAAUAGUGCAUGUGUAUAACCUCAGUAACAAUUGGCAGACUGAUGCAUUUGUUUAUAUAUUCAACAGCAUACGCAUCUUCUCCCUUGCCGCAGUUUUGUGUGUUUUCGGGAUUCUUCCACUCAAUUAUUUUGGACAGGAUAUACACCAUGUUCGAAUUCCUUCAGAAUCACUAGAUAUAUUUACAAUUGGCAAUGUAGAAGUGAAAUCAAGAUGGUAAGCCAAGCAACGUCUUUUUUAAUCUAUUAUCAUGUGCUGCCAUCAACUGCUGAAAUGUUGUGCUUUUGUAUAUUAUAUAUAUGGCACGUUAGUUGCUGGCAUUUUGAAAAUGUCAUUUGCCUUUGCCGGUAAUCUACCGUGCGUCUUCACCCAACGAGCACUGUACAAUAGAACAAAGUGUAUGUUUUGAUGUUCACUUUUUAUUCUGGGUCCCUUGUAGGCUCUGGGUCCAUUGUGUAACCCUGUACAUAAUUUCUGCAGUAGCUUGCAUUCUUCUAUACAUUGUAAGUUCGCUUCCCAUUUGGAUUACUGGAAUGCACAUCUCCUUGUAUCCAGAAUGUUUUUGACGAUUCAUUUUACCCAUAAUCCAGGAGUACAAGCACAUUGCCAGGUUGAAGCUCCUUCAUCUUACAAGCGCAACACCAAAACCAAACCAUUUUACAGUUCUUGUUCGUGGAAUACCAAAGGCAGAUAAAGAAUCAUGCAGUGAUGUUGUUGAUAAUUUCUUCACAAAGUAUCACUCAUCUAGUUAUCUCUUCCAUCAAGUAGUUUACAAAGUCGGGAAAGUUCAGAAGAUAAUGGUACUUAACACUCAAAUGCAUUUCACUUUUUCUAAUGACAAGCAUUUACUAGUAUAAACCUGUUUCUUCUGUUGAUUAGAUUUUCGCACAUAUGGAUAAUCAUUUUUUUUGUAUUUUUACAUGAAUCCGUGGAAAUGUCUGCAUUUGUUUUUUUGGUGGUGGUGGAGUGGAAGUUAUGCAUAUUUCUAUUUCACUUUAUUUAUGUUUUUUGUGUUACUUUAAUCUUCAUCUCUGACAGACUGGCGCAAAGAAGGCAUAUAAGAAGUUCAAACAUUUCACAGAUGAAACUGUCGAUCAAGGUUGCAGGACAGUUACCUACCGCUGUUGUCUGUGUGGAGCUUCUUCAAAUUCUUUCAAGUUGUUGAACACUGAGUGUGAGCAGAACAAGGGGAAAGCGGACAAUAAAUCCAUCUUGGACUUAGACGAUGAGGUUAAGCUUGCAUGCAUUUGUUCUUUUGCUUAACCUAUCAGUUAUUUAGAAUAAUUAGUAAUUAUCGUGUGGGAUUGAAUGCAGGAAUGCACAACUGCUUUUGUAUUUUUCAAAACUCGGUAUGCAGCACUUAUUGCGUCAGAAAUACUUCAAACAUCUAACCCUAUGAAAUGGGUUGCUAAUCUUGCUCCAGAACCAGAAGACGUGUAUUGGUCCAAUCUUUGGCUACCCUAUAAGCAACUUUGGGCUCGCCGUAUUGCUACACUCCUAGGCUCUAUCUUUUUCAUGUUCAUAUUUCUGAUACCGGUGACAUUUAUACAAGGACUAUCUCAGCUAGAGCAGUUGCAGCAGAGGCUUCCUUUCCUAAGAGGAAUAUUGAAGAAGUGAGUACAGAACUUCCAGUUGUGCUCCCCUAAUGACAGUAUAAAAAUCAUCUUGAUAGAGUUUGACAUAUGCUGUGAUCUCAUGUUGCUAGACGCCAAUGUUUUCAAGUCGGACGACUUACUGGUCGUUCUGGCUGACCGACUAGGGCGAUUAAUCACGAUUAGUCGGACGACUUGGACGAUUAAUUGUAAUUGGUCCAAACCGACUUGGACGAUUAAUCGCGAAUAAUCAUGAUUAAUCGGACGACUUGAAAACAUUGCUAGACGCUAUUCAUUUAUCUGUCUCCACAAUAUACCUAUUAACUGUUAUUUAUGUGCAGGAAAUACUACAUGACUCAGCUAGUAACUGGGUACCUUCCCAGUGUCAUACUGCAAAUCUUCCUGUACAUUGUUGCUCCAAUUAUGAUGCUGUUUUCUACAUUGGAGGGCCCUACAUCUCACAGUGAAAGGAAGAGAAGUGCUUGCUGUAAAGUGCUGUACUUUACAGUUUGGAACAUAUUCUUUGCUAAUGUAUUAUCUGGUACUGUCAUUAGUCAAUUGAAUGUGUUAUCAAGCCCAAAGGACAUACCUGUCCAGCUUGCUAAAGCUGUACCUGGACAGGUAAAUCACAUUCUUUUUUUCCGGUUCAUGCUAUAUAAAGAACAAGAUCUUGGCUAAGAUAUAUAAAUUUCUUGCAUAUGCAAAUAUACUAUAUUUGUUCUGUAUUUAAUUUUCAUCUAAUAUUUCUUUUGCUUUUCUGCAAAUCUAAUUUUACUCCAGGCCACUUUCUUCAUCACCUAUGUCCUGACCUCAGGAUGGGCUAGUUUGUCAUCUGAAGUUAUGCAACUCUUUGGUCUGAUAUGGAACUUUAUAAUCAAAUACGUUCUGAGAAUGAGAGAAGAUACAGAAUUCGUUCCCUCGUUUCCUUACCACACAGAAGUACCAAAAGUUCUGUUGUUUGGACUAUUGGGCUUCACAUUUUCUGUGCUGGCUCCUCUGAUCUUACCUUUUCUGCUGGUGUACUUUUGUCUUGGUUAUGUUGUAUACCGCAAUCAGGUGAGAAGCUAGAGGAUGUAUCCUUGUUAUUUACCCCAAAUUUAUCUGUAGCAUGCUAAUAUACUAUUCUUUUCAGUUGCUCAAUGUGUAUCGAACAAGGUAUGACACAGGUGGUUUGUAUUGGCCAAUUGCAUACAACACAGUCAUAUUCUCACUUGUGCUCACCCAGAUCAUCUGCCUUGGUGUAUUUGGCCUUAAAGAAUCGCCGGUAGCUGCAGGCUUCACUGUACCUCUUAUCAUCCUUACUCUUUUGUUUAACCAGUACUGCAGAAACCGGCUUCUUCCAUUAUUCAAGACUUUUCCAGCACAGGUAAUAACGUUAGUUCUUUAAUAAUAUCAUGUUGAAAUGUCAGUUGCUAUCUUGUGAUGUUGACUGCUGCAAUGUGAUUGUGCAGGAUUUAAUCGACAUGGACAGGGAAGAUGAACGAUCAGGAAGAAUGGAUGAAAUUCACCACGGACUUCAUUCUGCUUAUUGCCAGUUCGCUGACACUGUAGAUGUGCCCUUGGAUAAAAUUGAAAUCGUUGGUGGGGAUGAGGAGCAAGGCUCUAGCUCGGGUCAGUCCAGUGUUAAAGAAACGUGCGAGGAUCCCAAGAAGCACCUGGCUCACCCUACACUAAAAGGACUCCCUGUUAACCGCCUCCGGCAUGCCGUGAGGUCGGUUACUUUCCUGAUCAGAUUGCAGAGAAGAGGUUUAUCAGAACAGAAAAUCGGAUAAUUAGUUAGCCGCCAACCCCCUUUGCUUGUUGGCUAUAUAAAUGUACAGAGGCAUACAUGCAUAUACGAUCGUUCCCUUAGAAGAGAGAAGGGCUAAUGUAGAAGUCUGUGGGAGAACAUCAUCAUGAGUGUUGAGGUGCAAUUUUGUUUUGUCGCAUGGAUGAGUUUGUUGGUUCUGCGGGUUAUCUGGCAGAUUCAGCUACCCAAACCUUAGCCUUGCACGUUGAUGAAAUUAAUGCUCAUGGUUUUGUUGUAAGAGAUUAAUGUGGCCAAAGUGAUCUAGAUGUAUAAUGUCCUCCUCUCCAUUGGUUUGUGUUUGAGCCUCGCAACUUUAGCAGGUCUGUUAGUCUUCAUGCGCCAAUCAUAUUGAGGUAUUGAGAAUUAUACUAAUUGGUUUGUCUGACAAGCUGUAAGCAUGUUAGUCCAUGCUGUCGAGCAGCAGGUGUGGAGGUUCUUAACAUGUAGCAUUGAGCUGGUAUCUGCAUAUCUGCAGCUGUUGGGUAUCAUAUUCCUUUUUUUAAGAACAUGACCUUGGCGACGUCUUACCACGUUUUUUUUAUUGAAAGUAGAAUUACGCGAUGCAAUCAUAAGAGACCCUUAUACCGUAGGUUAUAAACCAUAAAAGAUCAUAAGAGACCCUUAUAGCGUAGGUUAUAAACCAUAAAAACUAAUUUGGAAACAAGUAGAUUGGAGAGUCUAAAAUUAUAUUUAUAUUUAAUUUAAAUAUAAAGAGGAUUUAAGCCUCUCAAGCCUCUGACUCCCAAACUAGUUCUAGCUCUAACGGAAAAGAGAAUUGAAUUAGCUAAAAUCUCCAUCCUAUGGAAGAGGAUUUUAGCUCCCCGAGGAUUUGUUUGGAAAGGAUAUUGGAUGGAAUUGAGGAGCCUAAAAUCUUAUUACUAUUCUAACAAACCUUCAAUCCUCUUCAACUCCUUUGUUUCCCAACUAGUUUGCUUCUCAAUUGGUUCCGACUGGUAGCAUUUUCAACGGAACAUGUCUUUAAAGAUGGUUUUUACUGUAAAGGUCUGUUUGGGAGCAAGUGACAAGUGUAAUGAAGAUGAUUGAGGAAGCUACAAUCUCUUACUAUUUAAUUUUGAAUAGUAAUAGAUUAUAGCAACAUCAAUCCCCUCCAAUCUACUUAUUUUCGAACACACUAAAGUGCAUCUGUAAUAGCUCCUUAAAACCUUAAUCUCAAUCCUCUUUUUAGAGAAAAAAAAACCUUUCCAACCGUUUUCUAGCUGUGCUCCUUAAAUUGCCGCACGCGUAUAUCACCCCACACGCGGCGCAAAUAUUCGCCGGGCAGGCAGGCACCGUGCUCCCAAUCCGCCGCUAGUUUUCCAAUUCGCGCGAUUUCCUUUUGGCGCCAUCCGUGAGCUUCGGCAGCAGGUAUCGCGCGAGGCGCUGCGUCCCUGUCGAGCAGACCUGCUCCCUCCUCGAGCAACGGUACGCUUCCCUCUCUGUGGAGUUCGAUUGCUCCAAGGACGAGGCCGCCCAGCUUGCCUCCUCCCAAGCGGAAAUACAUCCACGAGUAGAUCGAUUUGGACGCAAAGGACGAGCGACUCCGGCUGAACUCUGAGCUAAUGGAGAUGUUGUUGGAGUUGUUGGACGCAAAGGACGAGCGAUUUCCUUUUGGGAGUUGUUGGAGUAUUAACAAAUUUUUUUAGGAACUAAAUUUUUAAGAGGUUCCAAUUUUUAUGUAUUAGGAUAAAUAUUUUCAGAGCUAAUGGAGAUGCUCUAAGAGAUGGUUUUCCGAGAGUGUUAUAAAAUUCAAGUGGUAUUAGAGGUGGUUUUUACGAUUUUUCCCUGUCAUGUAAUGUAUCAAGAUGUGAUCUAUAUCAUUGGUUUCUGAGGAGCUAUGAAUCACUACUACUUUAUGUAUUUCAGCCAGGAUGUUUUCAUUUACUAGCAAAUUAUUUUCAGGAUGCUGGAGGCAUGGCUCUACAAGAUGGGCCAUUCUGAUAUACUCCUACAUGAGGCCCACUUAUUGAAGGCAGGAGAAGACGUUUGGGUUGGGCCCAGUCGAGCAAGGACCGUGUGGUCUGGCGCGCGGUCGACGGCAUGGGUCGCGUGGCCGUCGAAGAAUAGCAGCGCACGUGUCCAGCUUUCAGUGGCAUGCAUGCAUAGCCGGCCAAAAAAUAGCAGCGAUUCGUUGCUACAAAGAGCAUGCAUCUGGAUUGGAACAGAGGCGAAUGCCGCAUGAUGCGUCGCCGAGCCAUGACGAUGACAAUAGCCGCCGUGCUCUGCCUGCUCCUCUUCUCUGGCCGUCUCGCCGCGGCGGAGAAGACUUUCCGCGGAGGCGGAGGCGGAGGCUACGGCGGGUUGGAGGCCGGUGGCGGAGGCGGCGGCGGCGGCUACUCCACCCCGAGCGAGGCAGCGCCAUCCACGCCUGCCGCUGGGGAGACGACGACCCCUUCGUCAGGCGGCGGUUACUCCACCCCUAGCGAGGCAGCGCCAUCCACGCCUGCCGCUGAGGAGACGACGACGACUCCUUCGUCAGGCGGCGGGGGUUACGGCGGUGCAACCGGCAAGGCUUCCUCAGGCGGCGGCGGGCUGGACCCCGACGGCGACCCAGAGGUUGGGCUGAACGGGAAGGCGAUCGAGGAGAUCGUGAACGAGCACAACGUGUUCCGCGCCAAGGAGCACGUGCCUCCGCUGGUGUGGAACGCGACGCUGGCCAGGUUCUCGCAGCAGUACGCGGAGACGCUCAAGGGCAACUGCCAGCAGAUCCACUCGUCGUCGCCGUACGGGGAGAACCUGAUGGAGGGCACCCCGGGGCUGACCUGGAAGAUCACCGUGGACGGCUGGAGCGAGGAGAAGAAGAACUACCACUACAACUCAGACACCUGCGACCCCGGCAAGAUGUGCGGCCACUACAAGGCCGUCGUCUGGAAGACCACCACCAGCGUCGGCUGCGGACGCAUCAAGUGCAACAGCGGCGACACCAUCAUCAUGUGCAGCUACUGGCCGCCGGGGAACUACGACGGCGUUAAGCCAUACUAAAAUAUAUAUCGACCCAUUGCAUAUAUAUGUUGCAGAGCUUUUUAUUUUGGCAACAUAUCUAGUGCACAUGAUCUGCUGGUACACAUCAUACACAUAUUUCGUAUGAUUGGAUGUAUGCGCGAGCGCAUGCAGGCUCGCCUAAUCCUGUCCCGCGGGAUACGGCCGAUUCCCCGCGCCCUGGGCAUGCAAGUGAACGAGCCCUUUUUAGAUCUGACCUGCACCGACGCAUACCGGCUCGGAUAGUGCUGUGCAGGUAAACAAUCAAACACGCAACUACAGUCAGCAGCUACGGUCAACGCAUCCCACGGGCCUGGACACAGCCGGCCAGGAAACCAAUCAUACGGAUUAAAUCCUGUCCUUUCAUUUAAGAUCCAGUGUCUUACAAUUAUCUCAUCUCUCUCCUGCCUUUUUGCUAAAAUGGCCUCCCAUCUCUCUCACUUCCUGCCAUGUCGUUUUUUAGAAACCCGCCCGGCGGACUGUUUAUGUCCUUGAUUAGAGCGGUGGGAAGAUAAACAGUCCGCUAGAUUUUUUUGCGUGCUAGAUUUUUUUCUUCCUCCGGUCAAUCAAAUAUAAAUGUAUUGUAUAGGUGAAU